UUUUUUUCUGGGUUGAUCAUAUUCUUUUCCUUCGAUCAAGUGUUCUCCCUGCUCGUUCGUCUCUCGCCAGUUUAUCCUUCCGGAGCACUCAAGACGUCUCAGGAGAUUCAUAUGUGUUCCAAUUAAUUUGAGGUUGUCACCUCAUUCAAAUAUUUCAAUUGUUUCGGUGCAUCAUCUAUCUGUUCAACAUCCCUUUCCAACGGUGUUUUUCUCUUCAGUGGGCCUAACCCGCAGGUCUUUUGCCAGGAUCUUACCUGACUCUUCUAAUUUCCUAGAGCUAUUCUCAAAUCCGUUUCGAAGUUUGACGUAAGUAUGAAUUUCAUCAGUCAGAUGCUUUUCCAAGAUCAAUUUCAAACUCUUUUCAUUGUUGGUUCAACCCUUCCUCUUCGCUUUUUCAUUCUCCCGGAGUAUCUCAGUAAUUUUGGUGUUCUUUCCCGUCGUUAGUUGAAGACCGAAGAAGAGUUUUUCCUCUCAAUCUUGCCCGUUCUCUCGAAGUUUCGUGGUUCUAGCUUCAUGUUAUCCUCCAAAUUACCCCAUUUGUCAUAAAUUCUUUUCAUCCAUCCGGAGUAUGUCAGAAGUUGUUUUCCCGUUUCUUUUCACCGGAGGCCAUCAUUUCAGCUACCGUUAUCCAGUUAUCCCGGUGCUUCGUUCAAGUGUUCUUUAAUCAGCUCAUUAUCUAUUUAUUCUUUUGCAUCUAAAUCCCCUCUAGCAUAUUGGUUCUUCUAAUUUCUUCCCGAUGAUUUAUUCUCUUUCAUCAGUCAUUUUCGAAUUCUUACGGUGGUUCGUUAAAGAUUCCUUUUCCAUUCUUAUCAUAUUAAUUCAUUCGUUCUUUUGAAUCCUACCGGUGGUUCAUGAAGACUUUCUCAAGUUUGUGCUAUAACCCCUUAAUCCUUUUCAAGAAGAAUAAGUAGUAUGCAAAAUCCAUUGCUUGUCAUCAAAUUAAUUUGAUGAAGGAUAAGCAUACAAUAAAUCUUAUUCUUAUUUCAUCCAAGUGAGUAAUUCCUUCCUUUGGAGUUUGUUCUUGAUGAAUAAAUUCUAGUUCCAAGUGUUUUCAUCUUCUCUUUUCCGGAGUUAAAAUUUCCUCGGCUAUCUCGUCGAAACCUACAUCUUAAGCAUUGCAAGCUUUAAUCUUAUUCUUUCAUCCUUCAAUCUAUCUCAUCAUCCUUUUUGUCACCAGAGUUCUUCGUGGUGGUUCUUCAUGAUUUAAUUCAUUCUUUCAAGUGUUCAUCAAGAUUCUUGUUGGAGGUGUUCAAUUAUUAUUCUUCUUGCAUCUUGAAGUGCAAUUAAUUCUCUGUAUUCUUUUGAAGUGGAGUUUUGCAUUUCUUCAUUCUUCUCAGCUAUCCAUUCAUUUCGGUUUGUGGUCAGUUAUCACCUCAUAAUUUUGAGAUGUUUUUCAUAAGUCCACAACAAGCUUAUUCUUUCAUUGUUGAUUUUCUCAACAACUCCGUUCAACCUUUCCUUCUAAGUUCUUUUCAUUCAACUCUUUCAAUUCUUUCCGGAGGUUUUGUGUCAUGUCUUCAUCAAGUGUCAUCCCAUCUUGGGAAGCUCAGGUCUCUUUUCCUUCCAUUUUCAGCAGGAUUGCUGCCUAAAUUAUUUCAUUCUUAUUCCUUUUACUAUCUUGUUCUAACCGGAGUGGUUUCAUAGUCUAUUUGAUUCUGUGAGCUUUUGAUUCUUGUCAUUCUCGUCGUUCCUCUCUUCUUCUCGUGUGCUCGCGAUUCUUUGCUUCUUCUCUUGAGUUCUUGUUUCACUUCAUCCCAUUUCCCUUCCGUCUCGGUCCUAAGAUCUCGGGAUGAGAUCUCUUGUUAGUGGAGGAGUGUUGUAACGCCCCGGAUUGGAUGCGCUAGGUGUCUGCCAGUUAUUUGCCGUCAUUGCCAUGUCAUUUGCUUGCAUGUUGCAUUUUAUCAUGUCAUCAUGUGCAUUGCAUUGCAUACGUGUUCGUCUCAUGCAUCCGAGCAUUUUCCCCGUUGUCCAUUUUGCAAUCCGGCACUCCUAUGUCCUCCGGCGUCCCCCUUUUGUCUCUCAUUGUCAGCGGGUGUUAAACGUUCUCGGAAUGGACCGAGGUUUGCCAAGAGGCCUUGGUAUACCACCGGUAGACCGCCUGUCAAGUUUUGUGCCAUUUGGAGGUUGUUUGAUAUUCCAACGGUUAACCGCGUAGCCCGAACCCCCCCCCCCCUUUCUCUUUGCAGCCCAACACCCUUCCAAACUGGCCCAAAACCCAUCCUAACUCCCAUCCAUGCUCUUGGUCGUUCUAUCACGAUCGUGUGGGCGAAAACCGCUCCUCAUUUGAACUCUCCUAGCUCCAAGAAUCUAUAAAUAUGUGCUCCUCGUCCAAUUUCACGGAUGCACCCUAGCCCUCUCCCUUCUCGCACCGCCGGACACGUCCGCCCGACGACCNNNNNNNNNNNNNNNNNNNNNNNNNNNNNNNNNNNNNNNNNNNNNNNNNNNNNNNNNNNNNNNNNNNNNNNNNNNNNNNNNNNNNNNNNNNNNNNNNNNNNNNNNNNNNNNNNNNNNNNNNNNNNNNNNNNNNNNNNNNNNNNNNNNNNNNNNNNNNNNNNNNNNNNNNNNNNNNNNNNNNNNNNNNNNNNNNNNNNNNNNNNNNNNNNNNNNNNNNNNNNNNNNNNNNNNNNNNNNNNNNNNNNNNNNNNNNNNNNNNNNNNNNNNNNNNNNNNNNNNNNNNNNNNNNNNNNNNNNNNNNNNNNNNNNNNNNNNNNNNNNNNNNNNNNNNNNNNNNNNNNNNNNNNNNNNNNNNNNNNNNNNNNNNNNNNNNNNNNNNNNNNNNNNNNNNNNNNNNNNNNNNNNNNNNNNNNNNNNNNNNNNNNNNNNNNNNNNNNNNNNNNNNNNNNNNNNNNNNNNNNNNNNNNNNNNNNNNNNNNNNNNNNNNNNNNNNNNNNNNNNGACCCUGCCACCCGCCGGAGCGCUGCCGCCCGACCCCUCCAUCGCCGGACCCCGCCCUCCAGCACCGUUGCCCGCUCGGCCCCGUGCCCCCCGCCCGAGCCCGAAGCUCCUCCCGCCGACGCGCCUCGCCAGCCGCCGUCGCCCGUCGUCUCGCUGCCUCCACCGGCCGGCGCUGCGCCGCCUCGGCCUCCCUCUGGCCAGAUCCGGCCUCCCCGCCGUCGUGCCUCGCCAUGGCCUCGCCUCCCAUGCCGUCCCAUCUCCCUCCUCAACUCCGGCCGUCUCCGCCGAAAAUUCCGGCCGGAUCCGGCGAGAUCCGGCCCGGAACCUGCAAGGUGGAUGAGAUCCACCGGGAUUUGAGCCAAACGCGUCGUCCCUGCCCCGGAUCCCUCCGUCCCGGGUCGAGCCCAUCCCGCAUUGACUUUUCGCGGAGGUAAAAUUCUGCUAAGUCCCGAAUUAUUUUGCAUUCUGGUGCAUACGUUGACAUGCCAUAACUCUUCGCAUACUGCUCCAUUUUGUGCGUGCUAUAUAUCGAAAUGUUCAUCAUAAGAUGCUCUACAUUUCAUUCCAUUGUGUCAUGCUUGUUUGAGUUGAUCUAGAUGCCUGAAUCUUCAUUGCAAGAGUGCUAUAUAAUGUUGUCUGCUGUCUGUUAACAGAACAUGCUCAUUUGUCAUUUUUGCCAUGUUUGAUGUGUGUAUCCUAUGAGCAUGAGCUCUACAUGUGUUUUGAUCUAUGUCAUGCCAUCUUUACAGUGGGGCAAUCCAUGUAUUUUUUUGAGACUUGUAGUGACUGCAUUGAUCUUGUGAAGUAUGGUACUUGCUGUUACUAUUUUGCUAGGUUGAAUCUGUUAUUUCGUGAUGGUAUGUAACCCUUCUGCUACAAGUCAUUCUAUGCAUAAUCUGGAGAUGUUCACUAAGGUUGUUUUGUUAUACAUGUCAUGCUCUAUCCAUCCAUGCCCCUGGUUGCAUUUAUAGCCUACUGUAGAUUAUUUUUAUCAUGAACCAAAGUUCCUAAAUAAUGUUGCUGUCAGCCUGUUAACGUUAAGUUCAGUUUUGCCAUGUGUUUUGCUAGUGAUCCAUGCACCCUAUGAACUUUCUAUUGCCAUGCUUAGCUUCACACACAUGUAUUAGUACUGUUUGUUAUCUUGCCAUGCCAUGUAUUGCUCUAUGGUGUGUGGUACAAGCUCAUCAACAUGCCUACUUAUUGUUAUUCCUGCCAUGUAUGAAUCUGUCAUAUAACUUGCCAUGUUUACAUGGGUGCAAUCAUAUCUUCUGAUCCUUUUUGGCUCAUGAUCAGUAAGAGACUUUUGUUCUAUGCAUUUAGUAGAUUCAUUCCAUGCCUUUGUUUGCCAUGAUAAGUUUUUGUAGCAUGUUGUUUGAUAGCUCUAAACAUUGCAACCUGAUAUUAUUUCUGCUAAAUCUGAAACUGUUAUUGUUUGCAAUCUUGCCAUGUCUUUUUGAGCAUGUUCUAGUGAUUUAUGGAGAUAGCUCAGUGUUCAUGUUUUUUUAUGCUUUACCUUUACAUCAUGUCCAUGCCUUUUGUUUUUAUGUUGAGGUGCUGUAGCAUGUUGUUUUGAUGCUUGCAAUAUGCCUAGUUGCUGUUUUGGACAGAUUGUUGCUAUAACUUGUUUCAAGUGUGUGUUGAACCGUUGCUCCGUUUUGAGUGUGCUCUAUAUGAAACUUGCUUGAUUUUGCAUGUAGCUUCAUAAUAUCAUUUUGCAUCCUUGUUUUGAGGUGUUUGCUUGAUGUUUGUAUGCAUUUUGCAUCAAUGCCAUGUUUAACUUGUUUUGCUCAUAUCUUCUAGGCCGUAGCUCCAAAUCUAAUGAACUUUAUAUGCAACUUGACUAGAAUCUCGUGUAGAUCAUCUUGGUGCAUCUUAACUUGCUGUUUAACAACUUGAACAUAAGGUUUAUUCAGGUCUGGACCAAUUUCGAAAUUUGCAUAUGAGGACUUAUCGGAAUUGUUAUAUGUUGUUCCCGGCCUCAUUUAAACUUGCCUUGAUGUGUUGCUCUUGUUUGCAUCAUCUCUUGCCAUGAGUAGCUUCAUGUAGUCUUGUCAUGCAUCAUGCUUGUUGUGCAUCAUGUCUUGUCUAUGUGUGGUGUGUUUAUCAUGUUGUGUGCUUCUUCUCGAUAGUUCCCGUUUCGUUGCGAUCGUGAGGAUUCGUUCGUCUAUGCUUGGUUCGUCUUCAUGGCUUCAUCUUCUUCAUGGACUCGUUCUUCUUCCUUGCGGGAUUUCAGGCAAGAUGACCGCUACCCUGGAUCUCACUACUAUCAUUGUUGUGCUAGUUGCUUCGUUCUAUCGCUUUGCUGCGCUACCUAUCUUUUGCUCCUCAAGCCUCCCAAUUGCCAUGUCAGCCUCUAACCUUUACACCCUUCCUAGCAAACCAUUGUGUUACCGCUUUGCUCAGCCCCUCUUAUAGCGUUGUUAGUUGCAGGUGAAGUUGAAGAUUGCCCCAUGGUGGACAGGAUUAUGGUUGGGAUAUCACAAUAUCUCUUGUCUAAUUAAUGCAUCUAUAUACUUGGUAAAGGGUGGAAGACUCGGCCUUAUGCCUAGUGUUUUGUUCCACUCUUGCCGCCCUAGUUUCCUUCAUACCGGUGUUAUGUUCCCGGAUUUUGCGUUCCUUACGCGGUUGGGUGAUUUAUGGGACCCCCUUGACAGUUCGCUUUGAAUAAAACUCCUCCAGCAAGGCCCAACCUUGUUUUUACCAGUUGCCUCACCUAGACCUUUUUCCCUUGGGUUUACGGAGCCCGAGGGUCAUCUUUAUUUUACCCCCCCGGGCCAGUGUUCGUCAUGAGUGUUGGUCCAACCCGUCAGCCGCCGAUGGUCACCAGGGGCAACUCUGGGCUGGCCUACCGGAAGUUUGGACAAUCCGGUGUGCCCUGAGAACGAGAUAUGUGCAGCUCCUAUCGGGAUUUGUCGGCACAUCCGGGCGGUCUUGCUGGUCUUGUUUUACCAUUGUCGAAAUGUCUUGUAAACCGGGAUUCCGAGUCUGAUCGGGUCUUCCUGGGAGAAGGUAUAUCCUUCAUUGAUCGCGAGAGCUUAUCAUGGGCUAAGUUGGGACACCCCUGCAGGGUACAAACUUUCGAAAGGCGUGCCCGCGGUUAUGCGGCAGAUGGGAAUUUGUUAAUGUCUGGUUGUAGAUAACUUGACACCUGAUUCAAAUUAAAACACAUCAACCGCGUGUGUAGCCGUGAUGGUCUCUUUUCAGCGGAGUCCGGGAAGUGAACACGGUUUUGGGUUAUGUUUGAUGUAAGUAGGAGUUCAGGAUCACUUCCUGAUCACAGCUAGCUUCACGACCGUUCCGUUUGCUCUCUUCUCGCUCUUAUUUGCGUAUGUUAGCCACCAUAUUAUGCUUAGUCGCUGCUGCAACCUCACCACUUUACCUCCUUCCUUUCCCAUUAAGCUUUUCUAGUCUUGAUACCCAUGGUAAUGGGAUUGCUGAGUCCUCGUGGCUCACAGAUUACUACAACAACAGUUGCAGGUACAGGUUAUGCGAUGAUCAUGAUGUGAGAGUGAUGUUUGCUUGUUUUGGAGUUCUUCUUCUGCUUCUUCUUUGAUCAGGGGAUAGGUUCCAGGUCGGCAGCCUGGGCUAGCAGGGUCGAUGUCGUUUGAGUUUCUGUUUGUGUUUCAUCCGUAGUCGGAUGAUGCUCUUAUGUAUUGUGAUGUUGUAUUCGUGUGGGAUGGUAUGCCUCUUGUAUGUAUCCCAAUCUAUUAUGUAACGCUGAUGUAAUGAUAUCCACCUUGCAAAAGCGUUUCAAUAUGCGGUUCUAUCCUUGGUGGGACCUUCGAGUCUCUUUAGGAUAGUAUCGCAUAUUGGGCGUGACAGGGGGGUAGGUAUGGAGAGGCAGGAUCUUAGCUAUGGCGAAGAUGUACACACGAUGUUUUCGAGUUUAGGCCCUUCUCAGAAGAAGUAACAACCCUACGUCUCGGUGCCCGGAGGCGGUCAAUUGUAUUAUGUGUGUUGUGUUACAGGGGGUGCGAACCCUUGUCCCAGAGGAGGGGGUGGCUUAUAUAGAGUGCGCCAGGACCCCCGCCCACCUCCAUUACAAAGGGCUUAAUGUACAUAAAGUGGGGGCGUUACAGUUAACGGCAGUCUUAAAUGUUCGUAAUGCUCAUGAAGACUAAGGAGUGAAUGUCCGGUCGUUGUACGUUCUACCGACUCCUGGUAUUUGACAUAGUCGAGUGAUUCUCAUAUGGCCGAGUGAAGGUAAGGAAUGACGGUCGAGUGAUUGCAUCGUCGAGUGGAUUCUUAGACUUCUUAUCUUCUGGGGUAGUGACCUUGCGUAGGACGUGUAGGUCAGGCCUAUGACCCUACCCCAGGUCUGUAUCCUCAUCAGUGACCAACUUGCGGGUUCCGCCCAUGAACCUAUGCAUAGGGGUUGGCACACAUUUUCGUCUUGACUCUGUGGUAGAAACUUUGGGGCGCUCUUUGAAGUACUUUGUGUUGGGUGAAUAGAUGGAUCUGAGAUUGUGUGAUGCAUAUCGUAUAAUCAUGCCCACAGAUACUUGAGGUGACAAUGGAGUAUCUAGGUGACAUUAGGGUUUUGGUUGAUUUGUGUCUUAAGGUGUUAUUCUAGUAUGAACUCUAUGAUAGAUUGAGCGGAAAGAAUAGCUUCAUGUUAUUUUACUACGAACUCUUGAAUAGAUAGAACAGAAAGGAUAACUUUGAGGUGGUUUCGUACCCUACCAUAAUCUCUUCGUUUAUUCUCCGCUAUUAGUGGCUUUGGAGUGACUCUUUGUUGCAUGUUGAGGGAUUGCUAUAUGAUCUAUCUAUGUUAUUAUUGUUGAGAGAACUUGCACUAGUGAAAGUAUGAACCCUAGGCCUUGUUUCCUAUCAUUGCAAUACCGUUUACGCUCACGUUUAUCAUUAGUUACCUUGCUGUUUUUAUUAUUUCAGAUUACAAAUACCUCUAUCUACUAUCCAUAUUGCACUUGUAUCACUAUCUCUUCGCCGAACUAGUGCACCUAUACAAUUUACCAUUGUAUUGGGUGUGUUGGGGACACAAGAGACUCUUUGUUAUUUGGUUGCAGGGUUGUUUGAGAGAGACCAUCUUCAUCCUACGCCUCCCACAGAUUGAUAAACCUUAGGUCAUCCACUUGAGGGAAAUUUUGCUACUGUCCUACAAACCUGUGCACUUGCAGGCCCAACAACGUCUACAAGAAGAAUGUUGUGUAGUAGACAUCAAACACCCCGGUGUAAUGAUGCUAGAGUAAUCCCUGAGAUCAAGCUAAUCAUUUUGCUAUAAUAGUGCUUGGUCACUUUGAUCAAUAUUCCAUUUCAAAUUCCAGUUGAAUUCAAUUUGAAUUUAUGUGUGAAAUUCAAAAUUGCUUAGACAUGAAAACUAAAAUGUUCAUCAUGUGGAACAUAUUCUUCUAGUAAUAUUGGUGGUGAGCCAACAUUUUUGCAAAAUGUCUAAGUGGCCUAAAAUAGCUAAAAUAGAAAAGCUUUAAAAAAAGGAAAAGGAAAAGCAAGGAGAAAAAGAAGAAGGAGAAGUCCCCUGCCCCCUGGGCCUUAGCCAUUGCACUGACCGGCCCACCUUACCCCCCGGGUUGCCUUCCUGUUUGACCGACCCCGUCGCUACAGGGGCGUGGUCGCCCCGGUCCGCCUCGUCGUCGAUGACGAGGGAGGGGAUAAGGCCCCGUGCCUCCCUACCUCCUCAAUCCCCACCCCACUCCCCCUGGCGUCCUCAUCCGUUUCUCACCCUUCCCCCAGUUGCCCCACGCGCCUCGCCUCUCUCUUUCCCCCACCUUGCCCGAGAGCUCGCCGCCGUCCUCCAUCGUUGUCGCGGCCACCGGCAGCCCCGCGCCUGCUGACCCUGUCGUUGAGCUCCGUCGGGGUCAACUCCUUUGACUGGUGGCCUCAGCUGGAGCUCGGAGGCGCUGCAGCACCAGAACCCCUUCGUUCCCAUCUCUGACGGCCACAACAACUCCAGCGCGCGCUACUACUCCUAAGCCGUCAAGGGCUUUCCGUAGCCGCGCGGUGAGCCACCACCUUCCUUGUCCCUCUCUCCGUCUGCCCUUGUGUGGUCCCUAGCGGUCCCUCCCACCAUGGCCGAACGCGACGCCGCGCGAGCUCAUCGCCGGCAUCCUUCCGGUGACCUUUUGGUCACGGGGACGCGCCCGUUGGACUCACCGCUCCGUGCAGAUCCUUCCCAUCCUUUCCUUUUGCUCCGUAGUGCGCCGUAGCAUCUUUUCCGCCACCGACUGUAGCCGCUCCGGUGCAAACCUCAUCGCCGGCGCCGUUUCCGGCCAAGUCCGGCCAUGCCUCUGCCACCAUUCGAUGCGGCGUCGUUCGCCCGUUCGAACGCACCCUUGCGCGUGUGAAACGGCUGCCAGUAGACGUUUUCCGAUGAGGCCCGAGCGGCUCUGCCGCGUCCUAGCGUCGCCGAUGGCGAGACGCGUGCCUUCGCCGACGUGGCUGGCCGGGCCCCACCCCUGGCUCACUGCCAGUGGGCCCCAUGGGCCCUAGUUGACUGGAUUGACACAAUCAACUGCUGACUGGGCAGCCCAGUGCCACUGACAUGCAGGCACCACCACUUAUUUAAGCUAAUUAAAAUGUUUUUAUAGUUAAAAGUAAUUAGUAAUCUAAUCUGCCACUGACAUGUGGGGCCCAACUAUUAAUUAACCUCAUUUUAGUUAGUUUAAAGUUCUGUUAGUCCACUCCCUAUGACAGGUGGGACCCACUUGUCAGUUUGACCAGUCAACCAGUCUGUUGACCUGUUGAUGUCAUGUUGACACUCUGCUGACAUCAUAAUUCCUUUUCUGUUAAUUUAAUUAAUUCCAGAAAAUACUUUAAUCUUUAAAAAUUCAUAGAAAAUAAACCGUAGCUCGGAUGGAAAAACUUUAUACAUGAAAGUUGCUCAGAACGACGAGACGAACCCGAAUACGCUAACCACAUACCUGUCAGAUGCUUCUAACUAUCUGAACAUGGAACAUUCCCCUACGAUCAUCUAUCUGACACAGGUCCGGAACCGGGAAUACAUUCCCGGUUGAAUUCCCCCUUCACCUAUAUCAUGUAGCCAUACGUUAGUUCACACCCGACACAUCAUAAUGCCACGUUAUGCUUUGUGAUGCUAUGUUUGCUUUAUAUUUACUGUUUCUUUCCCCUCUUCUCUCCGGUAGACCCCGAGACUGAUGCUGCCCCUGUGAUCGACCACGUCGACGACAACCCCUCCUUGUCAGAUCAACCAGGCAAGCCCCCCCUUUGAUCAUCCCGAUAUCACCCAUUCCAUUCUCUCAUGCUUGCAUUAGAUUUUGAUACUAUUAUUGAUUGCUCCUAUUCUGAUGCAUAGCCUGAUUUUGUAUCUGUUGUUGUACCUUACCUGCUUAUCCUAAACUGCUUAGUAUAGGUUGGUUAGUGAUCCAUCAGUGACCCCCACCUUGUCCUUGUUGCCCCUGCUUCAUCAUCGAAGACCAGAUCAACGGGAUCGAAGACCAGGCCCCGGCACCGCACAUCAAUUUCCCCUUAGUUGCUCGACACUACUGGGUUACUAUCGAGUACCGAGGGUGAGGCCUCAUCAGCACUUCUGAUGUUAACCCUGUAGUGUAGCUAUUCGGUCAUGGUCAUCGAGGGUGAUUUCCUCUUUAACCACUUCCGAUACGACUUUGUCGUGCAACCCCUCAAGCGUGAACCUCGAGGGUGGUCCCUCUUACGUUGACCUUGAUGAUUACACCGAGUGGAAUUCAUCGGGGGUGAUUCCUCGGUUUUUCCCCUUGAUGUUUAGACACAUAGUUACUAUGAUUACUAUGACUUUACACUGAACCAUGUUACUAAAGACGGGUCGACCCUGAGGGGUACCCGCGUGACCAUAAUUGCAAGUGAUGUGGAGUCGGGUUGCCCUGGACGGUGCCCGCGAGAUAAUUAUGAGGCGUGGCCAGGCAUUCUUAGCCCUUGCCACAAGUCCUCGAGACGGGGCAAUGGGGUCACAUCUUUCGUGAGUCUCUGCUUGUUACCGCGCGUUCCUAAUCCACUACGAUUUGGAUAUUUGAUCCGAGGGGCCUCUGGCCUGAUAGCACUAACCAUCACGUGGGCAUAGUAUGGGCGUUCUGCGUCGUAUGCAUCAGCCCAAGCUUAAUGGAAAUCAGCGACUGAGCGGCGCGUGCCGGGUUGGACUGCAUAAGAACCUGCCUUUUUAAGGAGGUAGCUAGGUCUGCUUACCUCCCACCCACGCAACGUGCAGGAGUUCCUGGGGCGAUGGCCCAUGACCCCUGGGGGCAUAGGUUUAGUAUGGCGUGCUGACCUAUCUAUUAAGCCCAGGUAGGGUUGCAGCGUAUUGUUUGGCCGAGGCCGGGCUUGACCCAGGACAGUGUGUUCGACCAAAGUUAAUCGAGCAUGGUGGGUAAGUUGGUGCACCCCUGCAGGGAACAAAACAUCUAUCGAUAGCCUGUCCUACGGUAACAGACGCUUGGAGUUGUAUACCGAUCGAUACAACUAGAACUAGAUACUUGUGAUGAGAAUUGGAUUGUGAUGAGAAAUUAAUAGUAUGGAUCUGGGAUUGCUUUCUCGCAGGGAGUCGAGAAAGGAUCUCUGGCCGAGGUUGAUAACACUACUACUACUUUACUUUAUGCUACUCUACUCCCUCCCGUUUGCUGCAAGAUGGUGGUUUCCAUAAGAUGCUAGUCUUCGAUAGGACUAGGCCUUCUCUCUAUUCUGGCAUUUCUGCAGCCCAGUCCACAUAUACAUCCUUCCUUUGAUAAUGUUGCAUAUGCAGUGUAGAUCCUUGCUUGCGAGUACUUUGGAUGAGUACUCACGGUUGCUUUGCUCCCCCUUUUCCCCCUUCUUUUUCUUUCCGGUUGAUGCAACCAGAUGUCGGAGCCCAGGACCCAGAUGCCACUGCCGGUGCCUACUACUACGCGGAGACCGCUAACGACCGUGAGCAGUUAGGAGGCUCCCAGGCAGGAGGCCUUGCCUUUUCGAUCGUAGAUGCUUUUGUGCUAGCUUCUUAAGGCAAAGUUGUCUAACUUAUGUCUGUACUCAGAUAUUGUUGCUUCCGCUGACUCUUGUGUAUUCGAGCUUAUGUAUUCGAGCCCUCUGGCUUGUAAUAUAAAGCUUGUAGUAUUUUAAUUUGUGUCUAGAGUUGUGUUGUGAUAUCUUCCUGUGAGUCCUUGAUUUUGAUCGUACACAUUUGCGUGUAUGAUUAGUGUACGAUUGAAUCGAGGGCGUCACAAGUUGGUAUCAGAGCCGACUGCCUAUAGGUAGCCCCCUUUCCAACUCCUUGGCCUAAGUUGAGUCUAGUCACUGAAAAACUUUUACUAACAUUGCCUAUGUGUCUUACGGGCCCACGUCGCCAUUGGGUGGUAUUAGGAUCUUUUACUCCUCGUCUAUACUCUGGGACUCUGAUCACUCUUCUAUUCGGGUUAAACGAAAUUACUAACUCUUACAUUAGGAUCCCAUGACCACAUUCACCCCAAAGUUGGAUAAGCCAUAGUUAUUCCUUAGAAUAGUAUUCUGAAUAGUACACACAUUGUCGUGUUGACUAUGAAGUGGUAUCCAUCGCACCUCUUUCUUUAUGCAUGCUUCAUCAUAAAUGAUCCUUGUCUUUGCAAAUGCUCAAUGCUGAACUACCCCCUGUUACAUGUUUGCAGGAUGGUUAGACCUGUUGGUCGUGGCCGUGGUGCCAACGAUCCACCACCGCCCAAAUUCUUUGCCGGAAUGAUGCAACAAUUUGAGCUGAACCGCCAGUUCAUGGAAGGAAUGAUGGCUCAGUUUCCUCGUCUGAAUAUGAAUCAGCAGCCAGCCCCAGUAACUCUGCAGGACUUCAUGCGCCUCAACUCAACUAUUUACCGUAGCUCAACUCAGCCCCUUGAUGCUGAUGACUGGCUCCGCGACAUCACGUAUGAAAUGGAGUCUGCUAGUGUGGCCCCUGCUAGCUAUGUCACCUUUGCAUCAUUCUUUCUGAAGGGUCCCGCUGCUCAAUGGUGGGACAGCCACAAGCGUACCCUACCUGCUGAAACGGUCGUCACUUGGCCAAAUUUCUAAGCUGCCUUCCGUGCUCGUUUUAUUCCUCAGGGAAUCAUGGACAAGAAGAAGCGCGAGUUCCGCAACCUCACCCAAGGCAAUAAGGCUGUAGAUGCUUACCAGUGGGAAUUUUAGGACUUGUCAUGUUAUGCUAAAGAAGACAUUGUAACUGAUGCUCGCAGUCAGGAAAAGUUUCGAGAUGGAAUUCACCCUGAUAUCAAGCUAGCACUGCUCGUCCAUGACUUUGCCGACUUCGCCACCUUGGUGAACAAGGCUAUUCAGGUUGAGACUGGUCUGUAGGAAGACCAGGGAUCCCUCAGGCGCAGCCGUGACGCUGGCUCAUCUUCGGGCCCGUCAGCGCAGAAGCGUCGGAUAUGGAUCCCCCAUAGCAUGUACCGCCCAACUGCACCUGCACCAAGACAUUCCUAUGUUGCACCUCGUCUGCCUCCUCCAUCGCAGAGGCAGCCUCUUCGAGCUGUACCACCCCAAGCUCCUGCUCCCAACCCCAAUGAUGGUCUAUGCUACAAGUGUGGCCUUCUAGGUCACCGCUCCAGGAACUGUCCUCAGAAUCAGAACCAACUAGGUCUUCCUGCUACGGGUCGUGGUAACAAUCAACCUCGCAACAACAAUGCCCGACCUUAUGGUCGUGGGCAGGCUAACAACAUUGAUCUGAAUGAAGCUCAAGACCAGCCUGCUAUUGUGAUGGGUACUCUCCUUGUUAAUUUGGUACCAGCUUCAGUUUUAUUCAAUCAGGGGCAUCACAUUCAUUCAUGUCAGAAAAUUUUGCAUACGCACAUGACAUUCGAUGUGAGCCCAUGAACACUCUGAUAGUGGUACGCACCCCUGCGGGUCAGUGUCGAACUACCAUGAUUGGUCGCGACGUCCCCGUUGAAAUUGAAGGGUUGGAAUUUCAUGUUUCUCCCAUUAUUCUGGAGUCUUCCAAUAUUGACCUCAUUCUGGGAAUGGAAUGGUUGAAAGCACAUACUGCCUCUAUCGUUUGUGCCACUAAAGUCGUUCAUCUCGUAGAUCCUUCCGAUGAGAUAAUAAGCUACCAUGCUCAGAUUGUUCAAAACGCUGAAGCACAACUUUAUGCUUUGAAUGCGUUGAACGCGGAACCUCUUGAGGGAAUUGAAAAGAUUCCAGUCGUUCGCGACUUCCAAGACGUAUUUGCAGAAGAACUUCCAGGAAUACCCCCUGCCCGGGCUGUCGAGUUCGUCAUCGAUUUGAAACCAGGCAUUGUUCCUAUUGCCAAAUGACCCUACAAGAUGCCACCUCAUGAACUCCUUGAACUUAAGGAGGAAAUCGACAAAUCUCUUCGCAAGGGUUUCAUUUGUCCAAGUUCCUCUGCUUGGGGAGCACCUUCUCUCUUCGUCAAGAAGGACAAAACGAACCAUUUGGUCCAAGACUAUCGUCCUAUCAACCAAGCUACAAUUCAGAACAAAUAUCCCCUUCCUCGGAGCAAUGAUCUGUAUGAUCAACUAGCUGGUUCAUCGAUAUUCUCUAAACUCGACUUGAGGUUGGGUUACCACCAGAUCCGUGUUCGUGAAGAGGAUAUUCCAAAGACCGCCUUUGUCACUCGUUAUGGUUCUUACGAGUACACCAUCAUGUCUUUCGGCUUGACCAAUGCUCCAGCCACAUUUUCUCGUAUGAUGAACUACAUAUUCAUGGAUUACCUCGACAAGUUUGUCGUAGUCUAUCUGGAUGAUAUCCUGGUAUGUUCGAAGAAUAAAGAAGAACAUGCUGAACAUCUUCGUCUUGUUCUAGAAAAGCUUCAAGAGCAUCAACUUUAUGCCAAGUAUUCCAAGUGCGAAUUAUGGUUACCCGAAGUCACCUACCUUGGUCAUGUCAUCUCCAAGGAUGGUAUUGCCAUCAACCUAGAGCGCGUUCAGGCUAUUCUUGACUGGACCCCUCCGAAGACUGUCAAGCAAGUCAGAAGCUUUCUCGGACUAGCCAGCUAUUGUCGUCGCUUUGUCGAGAACUUCUCCAAGAUAGCCAAGCCCCUAACUAAUCUGCUUCACAAGGGCGUUAAGUUUGAUUGGACUGAAAAGUGUCAGGAAAGUUUCCAGGCACUCAAGGACAAGCUGACUUCUGCCCCAGUGCUUGCUCCCCCUGAUUCUCGCAAGGACUUCAUCAUCUAUUGCGACGCUUCACGACAAGGAUUAGGCUGUGUCCUAAUGCAAGAGCGCAGAGUGAUUGCUUAUGCCUCCCAUCAAGUGCGUCCUCACGAAGAGAACUACCCAGUUCAUGACCUCGAGCCUGCUGCGGUUAUGUUUGCAGCUAUGGCGACAAUACCUUCUUGGUAAUCGUUGCGAGAUCUUCACCGAUCAUCAGAGUCUGAAGUACCUGUUUACUCAGCCAGAUCUGAACCUCCGUCAGCAGCGAUGGAUGGAAGCUAUUGCUGACUACAUUUGCGGUAUAUCCUAUACCCCUAGCAAGGCUAAUGUAAUGGCCGAUGCCCUGAGCCGUAAGUCUUAUUGCAACAAUCACAUGCUCUACAAAGCUCAACCCCACCUUUAUGAAGAGCUAUGGAAGCUGAACCUUCAACUAGUUCCACAGGGUUCUCUGAAUAACCUUGUCCUGGAACCAACUCUUCUCAAAGAAAUUAAGUCUGCUCAAGCCAAAGAUGCUCAUGUUAAUCUGAUGAAAAAGGAUCUUGACUUAGAGAAAUCCAGAGAUUUCUCACUUGGUGAAGAUGGAACCUUGUACUUCAGAGAUCACAUUAUAGUACCCCGGUUAGAGCUUAUGAUAGAGAAGGUAAUGAAAGAAGCGCAUCACACCCCUGUCUCUAUUCAUCUGGGAAGUACCAAGAUGUAUCUAGACAUCUGUCAGAAGUACUGGUGGUCUAAGAUGAAGCAAGACAUUGCUCGAUAUAUUGAAGAAUGUGAAGUUUGUCGUCGCGUCAAAGCAGAAUAUCAGAAACCGGAUGGACUUCUACAACCGCUUCUGAUUCCUGAAUUGAAGUGGGAUAAGAUUCAAAUGGACUUUGUCACUGGCCUUCCCAAGUCUAAAAAAGGUAAUGAUGCUAUCUUUGUCGUCAUCGACCAAUUCUCAAAGGUUGCUCACUUUCUGCCAGUCAAGGAGACAAUCACUGCUAGUCAAUUAGCAAACUUGUAUAUCUCUCGAAUUGUGUCACUCCACAGCAUUCUGAAGGAGAUCAGUUUAGACCGCGGCAGUAUAUUCACUUCGAAGUUCUAGGAUAGUUUCCAAGAGGCAAUGGGAACUCAUAUUACCUAGAGCACUGCUUAUCAUCCCCAAUCCCAAGGCCAAGUCGAGCGAGUCAAUCAAAUUCUUGAAGACAUGCUUCGGGCUUAUGUUAUUUCUAUCGGUAAGAAGCGGGAAGAAUCUCUCCCUUAUGCGGAGUUCUCUUAUAACAAUAGCUAUCAAGCCAGCUUGAAGAGGGCACCCUUCGAAGUGCUUUAUGGACGUAAGUGCCGAACCCCUCUGAAUUGGUCAGAAACUUGGGAACGGACGCUCAUUGGUCCAGACAUUAUUCAACAAGCUGAAGAUCAGGUUCGCAUUGUCCGGGAUAAUAUCAAGGCGGCCUAGUCCCGCCAGAAGAGCAACUAUGACCGGAAACACUGGGGUUCAACUUAUCAACCUGGUGAACAAGAUUAUCUGUGUGUCACUCAUUUGAGAGGCACUCAUCGAUUUGGAGUCAAGGGCAAGCUAGCUCCUCGCUACAUUUGUCCCUUCUGUAUUCUCGCCCGUCGUGGAUUGGUGGCUUAUCAACUGGAGUUGCCACCUCAGUUCUCUCACGUCCAUGACGUCUUCCACGUGUCACAACUUCGUCGAUGUUUCAAGGAUCCGGAACGUGAAGUGGAUCCGGAAUUGAUUGAAGUUUAAGAUGAUCUCACAUACAAAGAGCAUCCGAUCCACAUUCUCAAAGAAGCUGAACGUCGAACCCGCCAGAAGGUUACCAAGUUCCUCAAGGUGCAAUGGUCGAAUCAUACUAAAGAUGAAGCCACUUGGGAACGCGAAGAUAACCUCCAGGCUGAAUACCGCGAUCUUUUCCCUUCUACCUCUUAAUUCUCGGGACGAGAAUUUAUUUUAGAGGAGGAGAGUUGUAACACUCCGGUGUAAUGAUGCUACAGUAAUCCCUGAGAUCAAGCUAAUCAUUUUGCUAUAACAAUGCUUGGUCACUUUGACCAAUAUUCCAUUUCAAAUUCGAGUUGAAUUCAAUUUGAAUUUAUGUGUGAAAUUCAAAAAUGCUCAGACAUGAAAACUAAAAUGUUCAUCAUGUGGAACAUGGUCUUCUGGUAAUAUUGGUGGUGAACCAACAUUUUUGCAAAAUGUCUAAGUGGCCUAAAAUAGCUAAAACAGAAAAGCUUUAAAAAAGGAUAAGCAAGGAGAAAAAGAAGAAGGAGAAGCCCCCUGCCCCCUGGGCCUUAGCCCAUUGCACUGACCGGCCCACCUUACCCCCCGGGUUGCCUUCCUGUUUGACCGACCCUGUCACUACAGGGGCGCGGUCGCCCCGGACCGCCUCACCGUCGACGACGAGGGAGGGGAUAAGGCCCCGUGCCUCCCCGCAUCCUCGAUCCCCGCAUCCACUCACCCCCACUCCCCCUGGCGUCCUCAUCAGUUUCUCCCCUUGUCCCCACUUGCCCCACACGCCUCGCCUCUCUCAUUCCCCCACCUUGUCCGAGAGCUCGCCGCCGCCCUUCAUCGUUGUCGCGGCCACCGGCGGCCCCGCGCCCACUGACCCUGUCAGUGAGCUCCGCCGGGGUCGACUCCUUCGACUGGUGGCCUCAACUGGAGCUCGGAGGCGCUGCAACACCGGAACCCUUUCGUCCCCAUCUUUGAUGGCUGCAGCAACUCUGGCGCGCGCUACUGCUCCUAAGCCGUCAAGGGCUUUCCGUAGCCACGCGUUGAGCCAUCACCUUCCUUGUCCCUCUCUCCGUCUGCCCUUGCACGGUCCCUAGCCGUAUCUCCCACCAUGGCCGAAUGUGAUGCUGUGCGAGCUCGUUGCCGGCGUCCUUCCGGUGACCUUUUGGUCAUGGGGUCGUGCCUGUUGGACUCUCCGCUCCGUGCAGAUCCUCCCCAUCCUUUCCUUUUGCUCCAUAGCACACCGUAGCAUCUUUUCCAUCGUCGACCAUAGCCGCUCCGCCGCAAACCUCGUCGCCGGCGCCGUUUCCGGACAAGUCCGGCCAUGCCUCUGCCACCAUUCGACGCGGCAUUGUUCGCCCGUUCGAACGCACCCUCGCGCGCGCGAAUUUGCCGCAUGUAGACAUUUUCCGAUGAGGUCCGAGCAGCUCUACCGCGUCCUAGCAUCGCCGGCGGCGAGACGCCUGCCUCCGCCGACGUGGCUGGUUGGGACCCACCCUGGCUCACUGCCAGUUGGCCGCGCGGGCCCCAGUUGACUGGAUUGACCCAGUCAACUGCUGACUGGGCAACCCAGUGCCACUGACAUGCAGGCCCCACCGCUUAUUUAAGCUAAUUAAAAUGUUUUUAUAGUUAAAAGUAAUUAUUAAUCUAAUCCACCACUGACAUGUGGGGCCCAGCUGUUGAUUAACCUCUUUUUAGUUAGUUUAAAGUUCUGUUAGUCCACUGUCUAUGACAGGUGGGAGCCACUGGUCAGUUUGACCAGUCAGCCACUCUGUUGACCUGCUGAUGUCAUGUUGACACUCUGCUGACAUCAUAAUUCCUUUUCCCUUAAUUUAAUUAAUUCAGAAAAUACUUAAAUCUUUAAAAAUUCAUAGAAAAUAAACCGUAGCUCGGAUGGAAAAACUUUAUACAUGAAAGUUGCUCAGAACAAUGAGACGAACCCGAAUACGCUAACCACAUACCUGUCAGAUGCUUCUAACUAUCUGAACAUGGAACAUUCCCCUUCGGUCAUCUGUCUGACGCAGGCCCGGAUCCGGGAAUAUAUUCCCGGUUGAAUCCCCCCUGCACCUAUAUCGUGUAGCCAUACGUUAGUUCACACCCGGCACAACAUAUUGCCAUGUUAUGCUUUGUGAUGCUAUUUUUGCUUUAUAUUUACUGUUUCUUCCCCCUCUUCUCUCUGGUAGACCCCGAGACCGAUGCUGCCCCUGUGAUCGACUACGUCGACGAUGACCCCUCCUUGCCAGAGCAACCAGGCAAGCCCCCCUUUGAUCAUCCCGGUAUCACCCAUUCCAUUCUCUCAUGAUUGCAUUAGAUUUUGCUACUAUUAUUGAUUGCUCCUAUUCUGAUACAUAGCCUGCUUUUGUAUCUGUUGUUGUACCUAAACUGCUUAGUAUAGGUUGGUUAGUGAUCCAUCGAUGACCCCCACCUUGUCCUUGUUGCCCCUGCUUCAUCAUCAAAGACCCAAUCAACGGGAUCGAUGACCAGGCCCCGACACCGCACAUCACUUUCCCCUUAGUUGCUCGACACUACUGGGUUACUAUCGAGUACCGAGGGUGAGGCCUUAUUAGCACUUCUGAUGUUAACCCUGUAGUGUAGCUAUUCGGUCGUGGUCAUCGAAGGUGAAUUCCUCUUUAACCACUUCCGAUACGACUCUCCCAUGCAACCCCUCAAGUGUGAACCUCGAGGGUGGUCCUUCUUAUGUUCACCUUGAUGAGUACAUCGAGUGGAAUUCACCAGGGGUGAUUCCUCGGGUUUUCCCCUUGAUAUUUAGACACACAGUUACUAUGAUUACUAUGACUUUACACUGAACCAUGUUACUAAAGAUGGGUCGACCCUGAGGGGUACCUGCGCGAGCAUAAUUGCGAGUGAUGUGGAGUCGGGUUGACCUGGAAGGUGCCUGCGAGAUAAUUACGAGGCAUGGCCGAGCAUUCUUAGCCCUUGCCGCAAGUCCUCGAGACGGGGCAACGGGGUCACAUCUUUCGUGAGUCUCUGCUUGUUACCGCGCGUUCCUAAUCCACUAUGAUUUGGAUAGUUGAUCCGAGGGGCCUCUGGCCUGAUAGCACUAACUAUCACGUGGGCAUAGUAUGGGUGUUCUGCGUUGUAUGGAUCAACCGAAGCUGAAUAGAUAUCAGCGGCUGAGCGGCACGCGCCGGGUUGGACUGCAUAAGCACCUGCCUUUUUAAGGAGGUAGCUAGGUCUGCUCACCGGCUGCCCACGCAACAUGCAGGAGUUCCCUGGGCGAUGGCCCAUGAUCCGUGGGGGCAUAGGUUUAGUCCGGCAUGCUGACCUCUCUAUUAAGCCUAGGUCGGGUUGCGGCGUAUUGUUUGUCCGAGGCCGGGCAUGACCCAAGAAAGUGUGUCCGGCCGAACUUAAUCGAGCGUUGUCUGUAAUUUGGUGCACCUCUGCAGGGAAGAAAACAUCUAUCGAUAGCCUGUGCGACGGUAAUAGAUACUUGGAGUUGUAUCCCGAUCAAUACAACUAGAACUAGAUGCUUGUGAUGAGAAUUGGAUUGUGAUGAGAAAUUGAUAGUAUGGAUCUGGGAUUGCUUUCUCGCAGGGAGUCGAGAAAGGAUCUCUGGCCGAGGUUGAUAACACUACUACUACUUUACUUUAUGCUACUCUACUCCCUCCCGUUUGCUGCAAGAUGGUGGUUUCCAUAAGAUGCUAGUCUUUGAUAGGACUAGGCCUUCUCUCUAUUCUGGCAUUUCUGCAGCCCAGUCCACAUAUACAUCCUUCCUUUGAUAAUGUUGCAUAUGCAGUGUAGAUCCUUGCUUGCGAGUACUUUGGAUGAGUACUCAUGGUUGCUUUGCUCCCCCUUUGCCCCCUUCUUUUUCUUUCUGGUUGAUGCAACUAGAUGUCGGAGCCCAUGAGCCAUAUGCCACCGCUGGUGCCUACUACUACGUGGAGACCGCUGACGACCAGGAGUAGUUAGGAGGCUCCCAGGCAGGAGGCCUUGCCUUUUCGAUCGUAGAUGCUUUUGUGCUAGCCUUCUUAAGGCAAACUUAUCUAACUUAUGUCUGUACUCAGAUAUUGUUUCUUCAGCUGAUUCUUGUGUAUUCGAGCUUAUGUAUUCAAGCCCUCGAGGCCCCUGGCUUGUAAUAUAAAGCUUGUAUUAUUUUAAUUUGUGUCUAGAGUUGUGUUGUGAUAUCUUCCCGUGAGUCACUGAUCUUGAUCGUACACAUUUGCAUGUAUGAUUAGUGUAUGAUUGAAUCGAGGGCGUCACAUAUUGGAAGGUAGUAUUCGGACACCGGAAGGGUUCCGGAAUGUAUCGGGUACAUAUUGGAGUACUAGAGGGGUUACCAGAACCCCCCGGGGAAAGAUAUGGGCCAUAUGGGCCAUAGGAGGGAGGCUAACCAGCCCACAAGGGGCUGGCGCGCCCCCCAUAGGGAAGGAGGCCGAAUUGGACUAGGGAAGGGGCGGCUGUCGGUGUCAAAAUAGGCAGAUCACGGGUAGAGGGGCCCAAGUUGUGCGUCUAAGGAUCAACGGUAACAAGGGACCAGGGGACACAAUGUUUACCCACAUUCGGGCCCUCUUAAAGGAGGUAAAACCCUACUCCUGCUUGAGUAUAUUCCUCUGUUGGAAAAGACAAUGCCUAGGAGGCGCUUAUGCAUGCCUAGGCGCUAGGCAAUGGCCAAAUGCCUCGCCUAGGGCAUAAAUGGAGGUCUAGGCAGGGUAAGCAAGGAAUUGCCUACGCAAGCAAGAAAUCAUGCCACAUACUACACUAGUAUGCCAAACGGGUUAUAUUCCAAUGGUAGUAGACGGUAAUUAAAUUUUUCAUAUGCCCUAAACUAAUAUCAACACCCAUAUAAUAAUCACAAAUGCACUACGAGUAAAAACAAUAUUACCACCUAGGCCGCGCCUAGGGCUCUUAGGCACUGCCUAGGCACUAGGCGCAGGCCAACCGCCUCGCUUACGCCUACCGCCUUUUCCAACCCUUGGUAUAUUCUAAGAGUAUGAAGAUUACAAUAGUUGAUCUACCUCGAGAUCAUAAUGACUAAACCCUAGAUGUCUAGCCUAUGAGUAUUCCGAUGAUGGUGAUGAUGAUAGCCUCUACGGGCUAAGCCCUCCAGUUUAUAUACAUACCGGAGGGGCCUAGGUUUUGUAGAAGGUCGGUUCAUCAGGGAAGGAAACACCCGGACUCUAGUCUUGCCGUUUAGGUAUGAAGAAGUCCCAUCCGGACACGGAGAAUAAUCUUUAGCUUGGUCUUGUACGGCCCAUACUCCUGGGCCGGACACAUGAGGAUCCCCGAAUCCAGGACUCCCUCAGUAGCCCCCGAACUUGCCUUCAAUGAUGAUGUAGUGUGCGGAUAUAAGCCUUUGGCUUUGCAAGGCGGGUUCUCCACCAUACCCCGGCUUGACGAUAGUCCGUCAUCGGCUUCCGCGUCCAGUCUUUAUGAUUCCUUCCUGCCGUCGCCUCGAUUUCCACGUGUCUGAGCGAAUGCGAACGGUCCGUUACCUUUAUAUUUUAAUACUUUUAGUAGGCACGAGCGGUGCUUAUAUAACGAGGUUAGAUCCCCAAAACAUCAUCCCACAUCGCCCCAAGUGCAACAGAGCAAACCACGAAAAAAGCUCAAACCAUGGCUAGUGUCCCCGGCUCCUCCUCGCGUCCGCAUGGCCAUCAAGACGGAGAUUGGAAAAGUUUUUUUGUAUCUCAUCUUUAGCUCAAUCAUCUCCAGACGCAAGGAUAUCUUCCCCUCGUGGAUCUAGUCUCUGUAUGGGCAGGAUUGACUUCUAUGGGUGAUGAUGCAUCGACAAAGAAUUUCCCCAACCCUAGCCGAGGGGAGAGGGUAUGCUUCAUAUCAUUCCUCCUGAGGGGCGUAGGAUUCCCAAUCCACCCUUACGUAGGGGCCUACUGGAAUAUUACGGGAUCUACCUACACAACCUCACACCAGGUCCCGUUCUGCAUAUUUCUAGUUUCAUUGCCCUUUGCGAAUUAUUUUUAGGCUGCGAGGCUCAUUUUGAACUAUGGAAAAAGUUAUUUUGCCUCGUCCCCCACCACUAGGGCAGAGGGUGUAUAUUUGAAGUGGGCAGCGCCGAAGUAUGGCGUAUAGCCGGAUUUGGUUACCCAGUCGGGACUCCGAAGUGGGGGUCCGACGAAUGGUCUUCGGAAUGGUUUUACAUUGAGGAUGUUCCUCUUCCGGACCCUGUUUGGAGUAGACUUCCCGAAUUCUCCAGCGCUCCCUUGAAGAAGCUAUUCAGCUAGCAUCCCAAGUCCUCCGGACAAGAGGAUAGUGCGAAAGUGAUGAGAUUGUUUAGCAAGGUCAGAUUAUUGACCCACUUCGGACUCUCCAUGGUUGAAGUCAUGGCUAUUGCAAUAAAGUGGUGUAUCCAGCCUCUUCAGUCCCGAGUGGGUCCUUUAUGGAACUACAAUGGGGAGGAUGAUGCGUCUCGCUAUACACGAAAGGGUUUGGACAACCAAGCCACAUUGGCUGACUUGUUGAUGGAUCUUUAUAAGGGAGAAGAAGAAGACUUUGCCCGUUUAAAUUGCAGGGAGGGUUUCUCCAUGUACAACCCCAUUAACUGCAUAAGCUUAGUCAUUCAACACCUUUUUUUAUCAUUGGGAUGCAUUAACUGAAUACUCUAGUUGCUUUAAAACAGUCAUGGAGGAAGGUAGUCAAGAACAUUUAUUGCCCUCCUCCCCAGCCAGAAGACCAUGCACGUCAUGAAGACCCCGGAUUCCAUGAGGAUCCGGAUAUAUUCGUGGAAUUUGAAGAUGAAGUUUAUUACCAGGCGAGCUUUGACGGCUCGGAAGUAGCCAUCAUGGCCGAUUACCCCGAUCUCUACCGCUUUGUUAAGGUAAGUGUCCGGAAAUGAAAAAAGGGUGACAUUUCCGCUCAUAACUUUGCCCUCCGCACUGGGUCGUGUCUUGUAGGAUGGGCACUCAGCGAGCCAUACCCAAGGUAGGGCAACAAGAAGGACGACACCCUCAAGGAGUUGACGUGUGAAGCGAAAGGAAGCGGGAGGUCCACUGAGCCUGCUCCAUCACCAAAAAGGUAUAUUCCUUAUUUUAUACUUGGGCGUAAGGCCGAAUUGUCGUUUUCAUCCUCCCUCUAUCAUCUCAGGAGAGGUAUACGGUGAACCGUGCCAAAGAUCCCAGCAAGCCGAGCCACAGCCAAUGUGAUGCCGAAUUUGUCAACUAGGACGAGGGUGCAUACAGGGGUCACACCAACUCAUCCACCUUAGGAAGAUCCGGAUGAAGUGUCCAUCACUAACUCUGAGGUGGAGAGCGUGAUAAAUCACCGCCGCUUAAAAGAAACCCUGCGUGCCUUGGUCUUUUCGGAGGAAGAGUUUUCCGCUCUCAGCACCGUGGGCAUGUAUAUCCGAGCUGCCCGGGAUGUACUUACGGGUGUUACUAACCUAUUCUCAAAGGAUAUCCAUGUGAAAAUUUAUGCAAAUCUAAGAUAUAGAUACCAAUAGCCCCCAAGACUUAAAGUGGUAGGAACCAACCGAUUUGAGGAUCGUUUAUGACCGCAGGUUCUCAAGGAGAAGAAUAGCGCAUUAUCCCAGGAGCUCAAGACAAGCCGAACACAGCUGAAUGUUGCUGUCACCGAGCUUGAAGAAAGGAAGAGUGCCCCAAUGACUGGGGGAAAAGAUAAAAAACUAGAAGAGGAAGUGAAGAAGCAGGCUGAAGAUAAUAGAGCUUAAAGGCUCAACUCUUGGAGGCGCAAUAGGAAAACCAAAAGCUGAAGGGCGACAUAUUUGGUAUGACUUUUGAACCAUUUGGAGUAUUGGUCUAAUCAUACAAUACGGAAUGUUAUAAUUCAGUUUUGUACAGGUAUGUUAACCAGCCACCAAGGAGAGGAAGUGUCCGGGCUUCAAAGCGACGUUUUAAAAGAACUAUCAAAGUUGCAUGAGCGUGCCCGGAAAGCCAUGAAGAACAUGGACAAAGCCUUAUGGCCAUCUGAUGCCCCACCAGAAAGUAUGGAGGGGUUGAGAGAUCUAUUCAAGGGUGCUGGGCGUCACUUCGAGCUAUGGAAGACGUCUGCGUAUCGGGAAGGUGCGCGAGAGGCAUGGGCCAUGGUGAACACAUGCUACACCGGACUUGAUCCGAAUCAUAUGCCCGAGUUGGACCUCAGGGACCGGAUGGGAAAGACAUUCCUAUAAACUUGGUAUAUGACCAAGUAAUGACAGCAGCGAAAUAUUUGCAACAAGAUUGUAAGCUAGAUAGCCUUUUAGAUGGUGUAGAAAGAGACUAGGUGUUCGAUUCUAUGUAUCAAUGUACUUUAUGACUGAACUUAUCUCCUGCCGAACUUAUAAUUUUUUUUGUCAUCUCAGACCUUCGGCUUCCAUCUCUGAACCAAGAAGUUGGAGUGUUUCCGUAUACUAUAUUUAACUAAGAAAUGUUUAGUAUCUUCCAAAACCAGGCAAUCCGGGCAUAUUGCUCGAACAGACAAAAUAUGUUCGAGGAGUUAUGUUAUAUUACUAUUUAACCUAAGAAACAUCUUGUAUGAAAAAUAGUUCCGUUAGGGGUUCCUUUCCUUGGGUUAGCAUGCUAAAUGAUGCAUGCCUAGGCUCGUAUCCGAAGUACAGACAACCAAUUCCGUAAUUGUCCAGUCUGUCGUUUAUUCGCCGACCAAUUAUUUCCUUAAGAACGUUAGCUUUCGGCUUCACCCGUCUGAGGUACAGGUCCAGAUAACCCGGUUGAAACAAUCGUAGAGGUACUCCCUUUAUGCCCUAGCCGAACAAUCGGGAACAUAGGGUAUAAACACAGGAGUAAGGCAACCCAGCUUGGCAAAAACUUAAGUCAUAGACGUGCAUAAAUGAAGGAAAUAUGCCCUAGAGGCAACAAUAAAGUUAUUAUUUAUUUCCUUAUAUCAUGAUAAAUGUUUAUUAUUCAUGCUAGAAUUGUAUUAACCAUAAACAUAAUACAUGUGUGAAUACAUAGACAAACAGAGUGUCACUAGUAUGCUUCUACUUGACUAGCUUGUUGAUCAAAGAUGGUUAUGUUUCCUAACCAUAGACAUGUGUUGUCAUUUGAUUAACGGGAUCACAUCAUUAGGAGAAUGAUGUGAUUGACAUGACCCAUUCCGUUAGCUUAGCACACGAUCGUUUAGUAUAUUGCUAUUGCUUUCUUCAUGACUUAUACAUGUUCCUAUGACUAUGAGAUUAUGCAACUCCCGUUUACCGGAGGAACACUUUGUGUGCUACCAAACGUCACAACGUCACUGGGUGAUUAUAAAGGAGCUCUACAGGUGUCUCCAAAGGUACAUGUUGGGUUGGCGUAUUUCGAGAUUAGGAUUUGUCACUCCGAUUGUCGGAGAGGUAUCUCUGGGCCCUCUCGGUAAUGCACAUCACUUAAGCCUUGCAAGCAUUGCAACUAAUGAGUUAGUUGUGAGAUGAUGUAUUAUGGAACGAGAAAAGAGACUUGCUGGUAACGAGAUUGAACUAGGUAUUGAGAUACCGACGAUCGAAUCUCGGGCAAGUAACAUACCGAUAACAAAGGGAACGACGUAGGUUGUUAUUCGGUUUGACCGAUAAAGAUCUUCGUAGAAUAUGUGGGAGCCAAUAUGAGCAUCCAGGUUCCGCUAUUGGUUAUUGACCGGAAAUGUGUUUCGGUCAUGUAUACAUUGUUCUCGAACCUGUAGGGUCCACACGCUUAAGGUUUCGAUGACAGUUAUAUUAUGAGUUUAUGAGUUUUGAUGUACCAAAGGAGUUCGGAGUCCCGGAUGAGAUCGGGGACAUGACGAGGAGUCUCGAAAUGGUCGAGACAUAAAGAUCGAUAUAUUGGAUGACUAUAUUCGGAGUUUGGAAAGGUUCCGAGUGAUUCGGGUAUUUUUCGGAGUACCGGAGAGUUACGGGAAUUCGCCGGGGAGUAUAUGGGCCUUAUUGGGCCAUACGGGAAUAGAGGAGAGAGGCCGAAAGGAAGGAGGCGCGCAGCCCCCCUCUUGUCCGAAUUGGACAAGGGGUGCAGCCCCCUUUUCCUUCCUCCUCUCCCCCUCUUUCCUUCUCUCCUACUCCAGCAAGGAAGGGGGGAGUCCUACUCCUGGUGGGAGGAGGACUCCUCCUGGCGCGCCCCUCCUGGCCGGCCGACCCCCUCCCCCUGGCUCCUUUAUAUACGGGGGCAGGGGGGCACCUCAAGGCACAACAACAAUUGAUCCUUGAGAUCUCUUAGCCGUGUGCGGUGCCCCCCUCUACCAUAGUCCUCAAUAAUAUUGUAGCGGUGCUUAGGCGAAGCCCUGCGACAGUAGAACAUCAAGAUCGUCACCACGCCGUCGUGCUGACGGAACUCUUCCUCGACACUUUGCUGGAUCGGAGCCCGGGGAUCGUCAUCGAGCUGAACGUGUGCUAGAACUCGGAGGUGCCGUAGUUUCGGUGCUUGAUCGGUCGGGCCGUGAAGACGUACGACUACAUCAACCGCGUUGUUAUAACGUUUCCGCUUUCGGUCUACGAGGGUACAUGGACAUACUCUCCUCUCUCAUUGCUAUGCAUCACCAUGAUCUUGCGUGUGCGUAGGAUUUUUUUUUGAAAUUACUACGUUCCCCUGCAGUGGCAUCCAAGCCUGGUUUUAUGCGUAGAUGUCAUAUACACGAGUAGAACACAAGUGAGUUGUGGGCGAUACAAGUCAUACUGCUUACCAGCAUGUCAUACUUUGGUUCGCUGGUAUUAUUGGAUGAAGCGGCCCGGAAUGACAUUACACGUACGCUUACGUGAGACUGCUUCUACCGACGUGCUUUGCACAAAGGUGGCUGGCGGGUGUCAGUUUCUCCAACUUUAGUUGAACCGAGUGUGGCUACACCCGGUCCUUGCGAAGGUUAAAACAACACCAACUUGAAAAAGUAUCAUUGUGGUUUUGAUGCGUAGGUAAGGACGGUUCUUGCUAAGCCCGUAGCAGCCACGUAAAACUUGCAACAACAAAGUAGAGGACGUCUAACUUGUUUUUGCAGGGCAUGUUGUGAUGUGAUAUGGUCAAGACAUGAUGCUAAAUUUUAUUGUAUGAGAUGAUCAUGUUUUGUAACAGAGUUAUCGGCAACUGGCAGGAGCCAUAUGGUUGUCGCUUUAUUGUAUGCAAUGCAAUCGCCCUGUAAUGCUUUACUUUAUCACUAAGCGGUAGCGAUAGUCGUAGAAGCAUAAGAUUGGCGAGACGACAACGAUACUACGAUGGAGAUCAAGGUGUCACGCCGGUGACGAUGGUGAUCAUGACGGUGCUUCGAAGAUGGAGAUCACAAGCACAAGAUGAUGAUGGCCAUAUCAUAUCACUUAUAUUGAUUGCAUGUGAUGUUUAUCUUUUAUGCAUCUUAUCUUGCUUUGAUUGAUGGUAGCAUUAUAAGAUGAUCCCUCACUAAAUUAUCAUAGUAAAAGUGUUCUCCCUGAGUAUGCACCGUUGCGGAAGUUCUUCGUGCUGAGACACCACGUGAUGAUCGGGUGUGAUAGGCUCUACGUUCAAAUACAACGGGUGCAAAACAGUUGCACACGCAGAAUACUCAGGUUAAACUUGACGAGCCUAGCAUAUAACAGAUAUGGCCUCGGAACACGGAGAACGAAAGGUUGAUCGUGAAUCAUAUAGUAUAUAUGAUCAACAUAUUGAUGUUCACCGUUGAAACUACUCCAUCUCAUGUGAUGAUCGGACAUGGUGUAGUUGAUAUGGAUCACGUAAUCACUUAGAGGAUUAGAGGGAUGUCUGCCUAAGUGGGAGUUCUUAAGUAAUAUGAUUAAUUGAACUUAAAUUUAUCAUGAACUUAGUCCUGGUAGUAUUUUGCAAAUUAUGUUGUAGAUCAAUAGCUUGCAUUCUUGCUUUCAUAUGUUUAUUUUGAUAUGUUCCUAGAGAAAAUUGUGUUGAAAGAUGUUAGUAGCAAUGAUGCGGAUUGGAUCUGUGAUCUGAGGUUUAUCCUCAUUGCUACACAGAAGAAUUAUGUCCUUAAUGCACCACUAGAUGACAGACCUAUUGUAGGAGCAGAUGCAGACGUUAUGAACGUUUGGCUAGCUCAAUAUGAUGACUACUUGAUAGUUUAGUGCACCAUGCUUAAUGGCUUAGAAUCGGGACUUCAAAGACGUUUUGAACGUCAUGGACCAUAUGAGAUGUUCCAGGAGUUGAAGUUAAUAUUUCAAGCAAAUACCCGAGUUGAGAGAUAUGAAGUCUCCAACAAGUUUUAUGGCUAAAAGAUGGAGGAGAAUCGCUCAACUAGUGAGCAUGUGCUCAGAUUGUCUGGGUACUACAAUCGCUUGAAUCAAGUGGGAGUUAAUCUUCCAGAUAAGAUAGUGAUUGACAGAGUUCUCUAGUCACCAUCACCAAGUUAGUAGAACUUUGUGAUGAACUAUAGUAUGCAAGGGAUGUCGAAAACGAUUCCUGAGCUCUUCGUGAUGUUGAAAUCGACGAAGGUAGAAAUCAAGAAAGAGCAUCAAGUGUUGAUGGUUGACAAGAUCACUAGUUUCAAGAAAAAGGUCAAAGGGAAAGAAAGGGGAAUUUCAACUAGAGUGACAAGCAAGUUGUCACACCCAUGAAGAAGCCCAAAGCUAGACCAAAGCCUAAAACUGAGUACUUCUACUGCAAAGGAAAUGGUUACUGGAAGCGGAAAUGCCAUGAAUAUUUGGUGGAUAAGAAGGAUGGCAAAGUGAACAAAGGUUAUAUUUGAUAUACAGGUUAUUGAUGUGUACCUUACUAGUGUUUAUAGUAGCCCCUGAGUAUUUGAUACUUGUUCAAUUGCUGAGAUUAGUAACUCGAAACAGGAGUUACAGAAUAAACAGAGACUAGUUGAGGGUGAAGUGACGAUGUAUGUUGGAAGUGGUUCCAAGAUUGAUAUGAUCAUCAUCGCACACUCCCUAUACUUUCGGGAUUAGUGUUAAACCUAAAUAAAUGUUAUUUGGCAUUUGCGUUAAGCAUGAAUAUGAUUUGAUCAUGUUUAUUGCAAUACGGUUAUUCAUUUAAAGUCAGAGAAUAAUUGUUAUUCUGUUUACAUGAAUAAAACCUUCAAUGGUCAUACACCCAAUGAAAAUAGUUUGUUGGAUCUCCAUCGUAGUGAUAUACAUAAUCAUAAUAUCAAUGCCAAAAGAUGCAAAGUUGAUAAUGAUAGUGCAACUUAUUUGUGGCACUGCCGUUUGGGUCAUAUCGGUGUAAAGCGCAUGAAGAAACUCCAUAAAAUAUGGAUUUUUGGAAUCACUUGGUUAUGAAUCAUUUGAUGCUUGUGAAACCAUGCCUUAUGGGCAAGAUGACUAAAACUCCGUUCUCCGGAACAAUGGAACGAGCUACUGACUUGUUGGAAAUAAUACAUACUGAUGUAUGUGGUCCAAUGAGUGUUGAUGCUCAUGGCAAGUAUCGUUAUUUUCUGACCUUCACAGAUGAUUUGAGCAGAUAUGGGUAUAUGUACUUAAUACAAGUCUGAAACAUUUGAAAAAGUUCAAAGAAUUUCAGAGUGAAGUGGAGAAUCAUCGUAACAAGAAAAUAAAAUUUCUACGAUUUGAUCGUGGAGGAGAAUAUUUGAGUUACGAGUUUGGUCUUCAAUUAAAACAAUGUGGAAUAGUUUCACAAACUCAUGCCACCUGGAACACCACAGCUUAAUGGUGUGUCCGAACGUCGUAACCGUACUUUAUUGGAUAUAGUGCAAUCUAUGAUGUCUCUUAUCGGUUUACCACUAUCAUUUUUGGGGUUAUGCAUUAGAGAAAGUUGCAUUCACUUUAAAAAGGGCACCAUCGAAAUCUGUUGAGACGACGCCUUAUGAACUGUGGUUUGGCAAGAAACCAAAAGUUGUCAUUUCUUAAAAGUUUGGGGCUACGAUGCUUAUAUGAAAAAGUUUCAACCUGAUAAGCUCGAAUCCAAAUCGGAGAAGUGCGUCUUCAUAGGAUACCUAAGAGGAAACUAUUGGGUACACCUUCUAUCACAGAUCCGAAGGCAAUAUAUUCGUUGCUAAGAUGGAUCUUUUCUAGAGAAGAAGUUUCUCUCGAAAGAAGUGAGUGGGAGGAAAGUAGAACUUGAUGAGGUAAUUGUACCUUCUCCCUUAUUGGAAAGUAGUUCAUCACAGAAAUCAGUUAUAGUGAUUCCUACACCAAUUAGUGAGGAAGUUAAUGAUGAUGAUCAUGAAACUUCAGAUCAAGUUGCUACCAAACCUCGUGGGUCUUCCAGAGUAAGAUCCGCACCAGAGUGGUACGGUAAUCCUGUUCUGGAAGUCAUGUUACUAGACCAUGAUGAACCUACGAACUAUGAGGAAACGAUGAUGAGCCCAGAUCCACGAAAAUGGCUUGAGACCAUGAAAUCUGAGAUGGGAUCCAUGUAUGAGAACAAAGUGUGGACUUUGGUUGUCUUGCCCGAUGAUCGGCAAGCUAUAGAAAAUAAAUGGAUUUUCAAGAGGAAGAUGGACGCUGAUAGUAGUGUUACUAUCUACAAAGCUCAACUUAUCGCAAUUUUUUUUCGACAAGUUCAAGGUGUUGAAUACGAUGAGAUUUUCUCACUCAUAUUGAUGCUUAAGUCUGUCCGAAUCAUGUUAGCAAUUGCCACAUUUUAUGAAAUCUGGCAAAUGGAUGUCAAAACUGCAUUCUUUAAUGGAUUUAUUAAAGAAGAGUUGUAUAUGAUGCAACCGGAAGGUUUUGUCAAUCCUAAAGGUGCUAACAAAAUGUGCAAGCUCCAGCGAUCCAUCAAUGGACUGGUGCAAGCAUCUCGGAGUUGGAAUAUAUGCUUUGAUGAGUUGAUCAAAGCAUAUGGUUUUAUGCAGACUUUUGGAAAGGCAUGUAUUGACAAGAAAGUGAGUGGGAGCACUACAACCUUUCUGAUAAGUAUAUGUGAAUGACAUAUUAUUAAUUGGAAAUGAUGUAGAAUUUUCUGGAAAGCAUAAAGGAGUGUUUGAAAGGAGUUUUUCAAAGAAAGGCCUCAGUAAAGCUACUUACAUAUUGAGCAUCAAGAUCUAUUGAGAUAGAUCAAGACGCUUGAUAAGAUUUUCAAUUAGUACAUACCUUGACAAGAUCUUGAAGUAGUUCAAAAUGGAACAGUCAAAGAAAGAGUUCUUGCCUAUGAUGCAAAGGUGUGAAGUUGAGUAAGACUCAAAACCCGACCAUGGCAGAAAAUAGAAAGAGAAUGAAAAGGCAUUCCCUAUGCCUCAGUCAUAGGUUCUAUAAAGUAUGCUAUGCUGUGUAACAGACCUAUUGUAUAUCUUGCUCUGAGUUUGGCAAAGGAAUACAAUUUUGAUCUUAGAGUAGAUCACUGGACAGCGGUCAAGAAUAUCCUUAGUGAGGACUAAGGAGAUGUUUCUUGAUUGUGGUGGUGAUAAAAGAGUUUGUCGUAAAGAGUUACAUCGAUGCAAGCUUUUACACCGAUCCAGAUGACUCUAAGUCUCAAUCUGGAUACAUAUUGAAAGUGGGAGCAAUUAGCUAGAGUAGCUCCGUGCAGACAAUUGUAGACAUAGAAUAUUUGCAAAAUACAUACGGCUCUAAAUGUGACAGACCCAUUGACUAAACUUUUCUCACGAGCAAAACAUGAUCAUACCUUAGUACUCUUUUGGGUGUUAAUAACAUAGCAAUGUGAACUAGAUUAUUGACUCUAGUAAACGCUUUGGGUGUUGAUCACAUGACGAUGUGAACUAUGGGUAUUAAUCACAUAUAGAUGUGAAUAUUGGUGUUAAAUCACAUGCUGAUGUGAACUAGAUUAUUGACUCUAGUGCCAGUGGGAGACUGAAGGAAAUAUGCUCUAGAGGCAAUAAUAAAGUUAUUAUUUAUUUCCUUAUAUCAUGAUAAAUGUUUAUUAUUCAUGCUAGAAUUGUAUUAAUCGGAAACAUAAUACAUGUGUGAAUACAUAGACAAACAGAGUGUCACUAGUAUGCCUCUACUUGACUAUCUUGUUGAUCAAAGAUGGUUAUGUUUCCUAACCAUAGACAUGUGUUGUCAUUUGAUUAACGGGAUCACAUCAUUAGGAGAAUGAUGUGAUUGACAUGACCCAUUCCGUUAUCUUAGCACACGAUCGUUUAGUAUAUUGCUAUUGCUUUCUUCAUGACUUAUACAUGUUCCUAUGACUAUGAGAUUAUGCAACUCCCGUUUACCGGAGGAACACUUUGUGUGCUACCAAACGUCACAAUGUCACUUGGUGAUUAUAAAGGAGCUCUACAGGUGUCUCCAAAGGUACAUGUUGGGUUGGCGUAUUUCGAGAUUAGGAUUUGUCACUCCGAUUGUCAGAGAGGUAUCUCUGGGCCCUCUCGGUAAUGCACAUCACUUAAGCCUUGCAAGCAUUGCAACUAAUGAGUUAGUUGUGAGAUGAUGUAUUACGGAACGAGAAAAGAGACUUGCCGGUAACGAGAUUGACCUAGGUAUUGAGAUACCGACGAUCGAAUCUCGGGCAAGUAACAUACCGAUGACAAAGGGAACGACGUAUGUUGUUAUUUGGUUUGACCGAUAAAGAUCUUCAUAGAAUAUGUGGGAGCCAAUAUGAGCAUCCAGGUUCGCUAUUGGUUAUUGACCGGAAACGUGUUUCAGUCAUGUCUACAUUGCUCUCGAACUCGUAGGGUCCGCACGCUUAAGGUUUCGAUGACAGUUAUAUUGUGAGUUUAUGAGUUUUGAUGUACCGAAGGAGUUCGGAGUCCCGGAUAAGAUCGGGGACAUGACGAGGAGUCUCGAAAUGGUCGAGAUGUAAAGAUCGAUAUAUUGGACGACUAUAUUCGGAGUUCGGAAAGGUUCCGAGUGAUUCGGGUAUUUUUUGGAGUACCGGAGAGUUACUGGAAUUCGCCGGGGAGUAUAUGGGCCUUAUUGGGCCAUACGGGAAUAGAGGAGAGAGGCCGAAAGGAAGGAGGCGCGCAGCCCCCCUCUGGUCCGAAUUGGACAAGGGGUGCAGCCCGCUUUUCCUUCCUCCUCUCCCCCUCUUUCCUUCUCUCCUACUCCAACAAGGAAGGGGGGAGUCCUACUCCCGGUGGGAGGAGGACUCCUCCUGGCGCGCCCCUCCUGGCCGGCCGACCCCCUCCCCCUGGCUCAUUUAUAUACGGGGGCAAGGGGGCACCUCAAGGCACAACAACAAUUGAUCCUUGAGAUCUUUUAGCCGUGUGCGGUGCCCCCUCCACCAUAGUCCUCGAUAAUAUUGUAGCGGUGCUUAGGCGAAGCCCUGCGACAGUAGAACAUCAAGAUCGUCACCACGCCGUCGUGCUGACGGAACUCUUCCCCGACACUUUGCUGGAUCGGAGUCCGGGGAUCGUCAUCGAGCUGAACGUGUGCUAGAACUCGGAGGUGUCGUAGUUUCGGUGCUUGAUCGGUCGGGCCGUGAAGACGUACGACUACAUCGACCGCGUUGUUAUAACGCUUCCGCUUUCGGGAUACGAGGGUACGUGGACAUACUCUCCUCUCUCGUUGCUAUGCAUCACCAUGAUCUUGCGUGUGCGUAGGAAUUUUUUUUGAAAUUACUACGUUCCCCUUCAGUGGCAGAAGCAACAAUCGUCAUGGACAAAGAAGCUUAUAAGCUUUCAAUAAAGUGCUUCGUUAAAGAGGCCCCCAUGUAUGGUGAGGUGUAUGCAUUUAAAGAUGUGCACCCCGAAUAAUGCGGUUGAUCCGAACGUACAUUUGAGAAGGAAAAGGAAAAAAUCAAAAAGGGAGAGAAAAAGGAAAAAACCUAGUUAAGAUGAAACCUAAGGAGGCCUAACUAUGCGUAGAAUCUUCGGAGCCGGGUAGCGUUCCAUGGGUUCAGCUCAAGGCGAUUAUCCGCUGCAUUGCGAAGGCGAUAGACUCCUCCAAUAAGGAAUUCAUCUAUGACGAAGGGCCCCUCCUAUUUGGGUUUGAGCUUGUCCUUUUUAUUUUUCAGGAGGCGUAAAACAAGUUCUCCAACAUUGUAUGUCUUAGCUCACACUUCUCUGCUUUGGUAAUGCCUGACCUAUUAUUGAUAAAUUACAGAACGAGCCUUAGCAACAUCGCGCUCCUCUUCGAGUCCGUCUAGGUCAUCCUGCCGAUCUAAUUCGGCUUCUCUCUCUUCAUACAUGCGCACUCUAGGUGAGUCAUGAAUAAUGUCAUAGGGCAAUACGGCCUCUGCGCCGUACACCAUAAAGAAGGGUGUAUAUCCGGUAGUUCGACUGGGUGUGGUCUGGAGUCCCCAGAGUACGAAAUCGAGUUCCUCAACCCAGUGCUUGUAUGAUUCUCGCAAAGAGCGCAUGAGUCUAGGCUUAAUGCUACUCAUGAUCAGACCAUUGGCCCUUUCGACUUGGCCGUUUGUUUGAGGGUGGUAUACGGAUGCAUAGUUGAGUUUAAUGCCCAACUUAGCACACCAAGUUUUCACCUCAUCAGCUAUAAAGUUGGAGCCAUUAUCAGUGAUGAUACUAUGCGGGACACCAUAACGAUGGACUACGCCGAAUAUAAAGUCAAUCACUGGCCCUGCCUCAGCUGUUUUUACCGGUUUGGCCUCUAUCCACUUAGUGAAUUUAUCCACCAUUACCAGCAAGUAUUUCUUUUUGUGGCUUCCCCCUUUAAGGGGUUCAACCAUAUCAAGCCCCCAAACCGCGAAGGGACAAGUAAUGGGGAUUGUUCUUAAUGCGGUGGGAGACAUGUGACUUUGAUUGGCGAAAAGCUGGCAGCCCACGCAAUGCUGGACAAGGGCUUGAGCAUCUGCUCGAGCCAUGGGCCAGAAAAAACCUAUCCUGAACGCCUUGCUUACAAGGGCUCAAGCUGCGGCGUGAUGACCACCCAGGCCAGCAUGUAUUUCUACCAAGAGUUGCCUUCCCUCCUCUUCAGAGAUACACCUUUAGAGUACUCCGGUAGUGCUCUUUUUGUAUAGUUCACCCUCAUGCAUCGAGCUUCAUUUUGAUCGUUGGGAAGUUCCUGCCUAUUAAGGUAGGCCAGGAAUGGUUCGGUCCAGGGGCGACAACAACCAUGAUCUCAUGAGCAGAGGGUGUUAUCUCGAUAUCCAGACCCCCAACGUUGUCUGCAUUGUGUUCGGCAGCUGGGGGUGUGAUCAAGUCCGUACUGCCUUCUCUGCUUUCACCCUGCCAUACUACGGAUGGCUUAAAGAGCCUUUCCACGAAAGUGUUAGGUGGCACAGGGUCACGCUUAGCGCCCAUAUGAGCGAGGAUAUCGGCUUCCUGAUUACUCUCUCGAGCGACGUGAUGAAACUCAGGUCCUUUGAACCGAGCUGGUAUUUUUAAUAUGGCGUUUCCAUAUGCCGCCAUUUUUUGGUCCUUUGCGCUGAACUCUCCAUUGACCUGGGAUAUUGCGAGGUUGGAAUCACCGCGCACCUUCAUGCGUUGUAUACCCAUGGAGACAACCAUGCGAAGACCAUGUAGCAGCGCCUCAUAUUUGGCGGCAUUGUUGGAGUCCGUAUACAUAAUUUGUAAUACAUAGCAGACUGUGUCCCCCAUAGGAGAUGUUAGGAUGACGCCAGUCCCCAGGCCGGCCAGCAUUUUGGAACUAUCAAAGUACAUAAUCCAAUUGGAGUAUGAGCUAUACUCUUUAGGGAGUUCGGCAUCCGUCCAUUUGGCGACAAAGUUGGCCAACACCUGGGAUUUAAUAGCCCGGUGUGGCUUGUAUACUAUUUCGAAUGGUAAAAGCUCGAUGGCCCAUUUGGCUAUGCGCCCAGUGGCGUCCCUGUUAUUGAUAAUGUCAUUGAGUGGUACUUGGGAUGCCACUGUGACCGAACACUCUUGAAAGUAGUGUCGUAGUUUUCGGGAUGCCAUGAAGACUGUGUAGGCUAUCUUCUGAUAGUGGGGGUAUCGAAUUUGCAAGGUGUAAAGACCUCUGAUACAUAAUAGACUGGUUUUUGGGUGGGGAAUUUAUGUCCCUCUUCCCCUCAUUCGACGACGAGUACAACACUAACUACUUGGUUAGUUGCCGAGAUGUAUAAUAACAUAGGCUCACUAACACUUGGGGCAGCUAGGAUUGGGUUGCUUGUGAGUAGAGCCUUGAUUUCUUCCAAUCCGGCUGUUACAUCGUCUGUUCAUUCAAAAUUAUCAGUGCGUCAUAAUAGCUUGUAGAGUGGUAAUGCUUUUUCUCCCAAUUUGGUGAUAAAACGGCUUAAGGCCACAACGCACCCUGCUAGUUUUUGGACUUGCUUUAGGUCUGUUCGUAUAGCCAAUUGUGAUAGAGCUCGGAUUUUGGCCGGGUUUGCUUCAAUUCCUCUAUGGGGAACAAUAAACCCUUGCAAUUUUCCGGCUGGUACUCCGAAGACACAUUUUUCCAGAUUAAGCCGUAUGUCGUAUGUUCGGAGGUUGUCGAAGGUGAGGCGGAUAUCGUCCACCAGUGUGUCGACGCGCUUUGUCUUGAUGACCAUGUCAUCUACGUAUCCUUCGACUGUUUUGCCAAUUUUUUUUCAAUCAAGUUUGAAUCAUACGCUGGUAGGUAGCCCCAGCGUUUUUGAGCCCAAAGGGCAUAAUGUUGAAGCAGAAGGGACCAUAAGGGGUGAUGAACAUGGUUGCGUCCUGAUCCGAUUCCUCACCUGAAUCUGAUGGUAUUCGGAAUAGGCAUCAAGGAAUCACAAAGAAUCUUGUCCUGAAGUUGUGUCAAUGAUUUGGUCGAUGCGGGGCAAUGGGAAGGGGUCUUUAGGGCAAGCCUUGUUGAGGUCUCUGAAAUUGACCCACAGGCGCCAGGAUUUGUCCUUCUUUGGUACCAUAACCAAGUUGGCUAACCAAUCUGGAUGUUUAAUUUCCCUUAUAAACCCAGCCUCUAGCAACUUGGCUAACUCUUCUCCCAUGGCUUGACGCUUUGGGUUCGGAGAAUCGCCGUAGUGUCUGCUUCACGGGUUUGAAUCCCUUGAUUACAUUGAGACUGUGUUCAGCCAGACUACGUGGGAUGUCGGGCAUGUCUGAGGGGUGCCAGGCAAAAAUAUCCCAAUUCUCUCGCAAGAAUGUGCGAAGGGCGGCGUCCACUGCCGAAUCCAGCGUGCUCCGAUAGAUGUUGUCUUGUUAGGGUCCGUCGGCUGCACUUGGAAUUUAACUAUUUCCUCAGCUGGCUUGAAAGAGGUGGAUUUGGAUCUCUUAUCGAGAAUCACACCAUCCCUAUCCACUGUGUAGCGUAGGGUGGUUAAUUCUUAAGCCGCUAGGGCUUUGGAUAGCGGCUGGAGGGCCAAGGAUGCGGUUUUGAUUUUGGCACGAAGGGCUUUGUCUGGGUCGCUCGAAAUUGUUAUGAUUCCGUCGGGUCCGGCCAUUUUAAGCUUCAUGUACCCAUAAUGGGGUAUGGCUUGGAAGCAUGAAAAGGCGUCCCAUCCCAGGAUUGCAUGGUACCCACUGUUGUAGGUGACAACAUGAAAGAGCAACUCUUCGGAUAUGUAGUUCUCAGGCAUGCCGAAUACCACAUCCAGUCUAAUUCUCCCAGAGCAUCAUGCUUCUCGAUUGAGGAUAAUGCCUCGAAAGGCGGUAUUGCUUUUCUCAAUGCAUGAUCUAUCCAUAUGCAUUUUGUCGAGUGUGUCUUCCUAGAUAAGGUUAAGCCGACUGCCGCCGUCCAUGAGCACUAUAGUGAGCUGAAAAUCAUCCACGAUGGGGUUUAGUACUAGGGCGGUGGGUGCUCGGACUGACCGAGCCUUUGGUUCGUCUUUGUCCGUAAAGGUUAUUGCUGUGUCGUUCCAUGGGCUCAGUGUGGUAACUUGGUGGACUUCGGCGAGGUCGCCGAGCACCCAUUUGCGCCGAUUAUUUGAAGAGAAGGUCUCAAAGACCGUGAGGACAUUAAAGUCAUCCUUCUCUGGAGAGUAUUUAUCUGGAGUGGUGGUGAGGAUGGCCUCUCCACUUUUUGCUACUUGUCGGAGUACCCAACAUGCUUGAAGGCUAUGGGUUGGGUCUGUGCGCAGAGUGGCAUGUAUCGGGCAGGGCUUGUCAAGGAGUUCGUCCAGAAUAGACCUAUGUCCUAUGAAGGUUUUAUUUUUCCUGCCCAUCGACUGGUGGUCGGGUGACCGCCAGGGUGUAUCCGUUUAGUCCGGGCCGCACACUGCUUAAAGGCAGCGGGCUCCAAUUGGGUUUUCUGGGCCCUCCAUGUGCUUUCCAUCGCACAAUACUUUUGUACUACAUAUGAUAGUUCCCUGAAGCUCUGUAUGUAAUGACGGUCGAGGGCAUUCAAUAUUCCCUCAUCGGUGCAAUUACGAUGAAAGGAAGAGGCACCACCUUUCCUUCUCCUACUGCCUCUCCUUCCCCCUUUCCCCCUCCGAUAAAACGAGGGGGGGCGAAUCCUACUAGGAGCCCAAGUGGGACUCCUCCCACUUGGGGCGCGCCUAGGGCCGGCCUCCUCUCCCUCCCUCCUUUAUAUUAGGCGGGGUGCCCCUAGAAGACACAGCAAUUGCUCCAAGCCGUGUGCGGCUCCCCCCUCCACAGUUUACGCCUCCGGUCAUAUUCUCGCAAUGCUUAGGUGAAGCCCUGCACGGAUCACAUCACCAUCACCGUCACCACGCCGUCGUGCUGACGAAAAUCAUCUACUCCUUCGACCCUCUGCUGGAUCAAGAGCUCGAGGGACGUCAUCGCGCUGAAUGUCUGCAGAACUCGGAGGUGUCGUAUGUUCUGUACUCAUCGGUCGGAACGUGAAGACGUUCGACUACAUCAACCACGUUAAGCAAAAGCCUCUGCUUUCGGUCUACGAGGGUACAUGGACACACUCUCCCCCUCCCGUUGCUAUGUAUCUGCAAGAUAGAUCUUGCGUGAGCGUAGGAAUUUUUUUGAAAUUGCAUGCUACGUUUCCCAACAGUGGCAUCCGAGCCAGGUCUAUGCGUAGAUGAUAUGCACGAGUAGAACACAAAGAGAUGUGGGCGGUGAUCGUCAUACUGCUUACACCAAUGUCUUAUUUUGAUUUGGCGGUAUUGUUGGAUGAAGCGGCCCGGACCAACCUUACAUGACCACGUGCACGAGACACGGUUCCACCGACAGACAUGCAACUAGUUUUGCAUAAAGGUGGAUGACGGCUGUCUUUUCUCCAACUUUAGCUGAAUCGAAUUUGACUGCGGACGGUCCUUGUGAAGGUUAAAACAGCAAACUUGAUAAAAUCACCGUUGUGGUUUUUGUGCCGUAGGUAAGUAUGGUUCUUGCUAGAAGCCCGUAGCAGCCACGUAAAACAUGCAACAACAAAGUAGAGGACGUCUAACUUAUUUUUGCAUGGCAUGUUGUGAUGUGAUAUGGUCAAGACAUGAUGUGAUAUACGUUGUUGUAUGAGAUGAUCAUGUUUUGUAGAAGUUAUUGUCAACUGGCAGGAGCCUUAUGGUUGUCGCUUUAUUGUAUGAAACACAAACGCCAUGUAAUUGCUUUACUUUAUCACUAAGCGGUAGCGAUAGUCAUAGAAGCAAUAGUUGGCAAGAUGACCACGACGCAACGAUGGAGAUCAAGGUGUCAAGCUGGUGACGAGGGAGAUCAUUACGUUGCUUUGGUGAUGGAGAUCAAAAGCACAAGAUGAUGAUAGCCAUAUUAUGUCACAUAUUUUUGAUUGCAUGUGAUGUUUAUCUUUUUGCAUCUUAUUUUUCUUAGUACGGCGGUAGCAUUAUAAGAUGAUCUCUUAACUAAAUUUCAAGGUAUAAGUGUUCUCCCUGAGUAUGCACCAUUGCGAAAGUUCUUUGUGCUGAGACACCAAGCGAUGAUCGGGAGUGAUAAGCUCUACAUUUAAAUACAAUGGGUGCAAGCCAGUUUUGCACAUACGGAAUACUCGGGUUAAACUUGACGAGCCUAGCAUGUACAGACAUGGCCUCGGAACACUAGUGACUGAAAGGUCAAACAUGCAUCAUAUAGUGGAUAUAAUCAACAUAGAGACGUUCACCAUUGAUGACUACUCCAUCUCACGUGAUGAUUGGACAAGGUUUAGUUGAUUUGGAUCACGUAUCAUUUAGAUGACUUGAGGGAUGUCUAUCUAAGUGGGAGUUCUUAAGUAAUAUAAUUAAUUGAAUUUAAUUUCUCAUGGUAUCAGCCUAACCGAUCCAACACUAGCCGUCACCCGUCCCUUCCGCUCCGUGCCGCCCCCGGUGGUCGGUCUUCAUGAUCGCCGCCGGGGGCCACUGCCCAUACCUAGGGUUCGUCCGCCGGUCAUGUUGACCGGUUACCCUAAAGAGUCUUUUUCCAGAGCCCUUGCUCAGGGUUUUUCUCUCUCCCGCCGAUCAUCUUGAUCGGCGUUUUAUUUUUUGGUUUUUUGAUCUAAGAUCAGUUUGCGUCUCCCGCCGCCGUCGACCACCGUGUGCCUCUACUCCAACACCUGCACGACCGGCCGGCUCCUACACCGACCCGGCGGCCUCGCGUGACAGGCGGCCCUUCACGGCCAUGGUCCACGCAUCUACCCGCCCGUCGCCCUGCGCCGGCCGUCGCGGCCCAGCUCCGACCGGGACCUCUCCAUCGCCACCCGCCUUCGCCGCGUCUACACGGCAGCCCUGUGGUCUGCCUCGCUGGCCUCGUCCCCGGCUGCGUCAACGACCCACCGUGUUUUUUACUCCUGUAUAUAUGUUUGAAAAGUAAUUAAAUCCACCAUGUUUGUAUGAAAGUUGUCUUGUUUGUAUGAAAUCUGACCGUGUUUGCAUGAAUUUCAUCUGUUUUGUUGAAUUUUUUUUUGAAAUGUAUGUGGCUAACUUUGGAUGGCAUCCUGCUGCAUCCGUGUCCACGGACUGGUCCCCCUCCCCUCGUCUGCGGACGGAUGUGGGGGAAAAUUUACGAGUUGCCAUUGGAGAUGCCCUAAGUAGGUGGACCGUCGUUGGGAAAUACACUUCAGAACCUGGUUGUAUAUACACCCCAUAUAUAGAAUUUUUUGAAUAAUUAAACAAAAAGUGAAAAUAGUUUAGAAGUUUUUUUAGAAUAAACUUGACUUUCCUUCGCACAAGUAUAUAAAUUUUCAGAAAAAAACCAACAUUGACUUCAGGGCAAAAGAGAUAAAAUUUAUUUGCUAUUAUAGGUGACUAUUCACACUAAUAUCACCGGAGUACUAUUUUAGCUAAAAAAUAUCUUUUUUGAAAAGAAGUCAAAGGGAGAUUUUCUUUUUAUGGAAUUUUUCUCACAAGUACAAUGAAAGCUCAAGUUUAUUUAAAAAUAUAUUUUCAAAUUCUGUUGACUUUUUAUUGAAUUACUAAUUUUCUUUCAUAUAGGGUUUAGAUACACCUAGAAACCAAACCUCCGCGUCCGAUCGUCGUUGUCAAACGCAAAAUGGGACGGAUAUUAACAUGAUAUGAAGUAAAUUAUGUGUACGAUCGAUCUAUCCACCUACCAUGCAUGCAUUGAGAAAAGCAAUGCUAGGAUCUAUGACUAAUGAAGUGUACAUAUUAAUUUCCACCGGCAAAUGUACUGAUCAGGCGGUGCAGAGUGAUUAAUGCCAGCAACGUGGGUGCUUUAUUUCUUUGACUCCAACUAAGUGGAGUGUAUAUCAAGCAUCUCCUACGAAGAAUAUCAUAUGAAAACAAACAUAUCAUGAAAACUUCAUGGAAACCAUCAUUAAUAGUUUUGAAAAAAAGGGAUGCUAAGAGGGUGAUGUUUUAUUGCUAUGCGAAAUUCCAAGUUGCAAAACAUUAUGGAAUGGGAGCUACGAAAAAACAAAUUUAGUAGUGAAUAGUAACGUUACUGUUCGGCACUAUUCAAUGGUGAUUUUGUUAUAUUUAUAGCUUACAUCCAGUAAUGUGUUUGAACUUUGAAUAAAAUAUUGUUUCAACUGUUUUGAUUGUGAACAAGUAAAUAAUAGUACGUUUACAUUUGGCUUAUAACAUAACUUGAGUGAAUUAAACUUUUUACCCGUUACUUUGGCAUUUUUGACACUAAUUAGCCGUUCACAACUUUUCAUCCAAGCUAGAUGACCCGUCACGUCCUUGCGCAGAGACCAAAUGCAACCAAAAAGUUAGGUGAACUAUUAGAUUUUUUUUCUGUACAUGCAAAAUACGAUGACCUGUUGUGUCCUUGGUGCACAAACCAAGUGCAAUUGAAAGUUAGGCGAACUAUUUAUUAUUAUUUUUGGCUGCCCAUAAGAAGGAUUGAAUUGAAUGUAUGAUGAAAUUUUAACCGUCCUGCUCAGUUUUUCAAGAAGAUGCAUAGAGUACACUCAACUGGGCUUGAUAGAUAGUCAGGUUUGAGACUAGCCGGUACCAAGUCCGUUGCCCUCUCAAACUUAAAGCCGCCCUUGGCCUUGAGGAUGAAUAACAGCCGAGCUAGCCAUUCCCAAGGAGUUAGCGCUGGGAGGGCGCAACGCCGCAUGGAGUUCCACGCGAAUCUUGUGGAAAAUUAGUUCAAAUGUGAUAUAAAGUCUGCAAGACGAAGUGAUAAAUAGCGAAGGAUUUGUUUUAGAGAACUAAGUUCUUGGGAUGGGUUAGAUGUCAAACUCCCAAUACCUAUGAUUUUUUGGGAAUUAAGUUUGGGAUCUGUUAGAUGCCAAUCUCCCAAUGCCUAUGAAUUUGGGAAUUAAUUUUGGGAUGGGUUUUUAGCCACUAACUUUUGAGGAUGAAUCACAGUUGCCAGAUGCCCAACAUUCGUUCCUGGUGGGGGUGCUGCGAUGGCACCCCAUAGGUCAUCUUCUGCUUUUGUGCCUUAGGUGCACUUGAUCUUGAUGAUUUUAAAACUAUAGUUGACAAAAUUGAAUAGCAAAAACAUAUAAAUUAUUAAGACUUAUGGUAGACCUGCACAUGGGCGAUAGAACAAAUGCACCAAGACAACGGAAUAAAACUCACGGGGUUGCUUUGGUUGCACCACCGGACACUAUUCACGUCUAGAUUUAUCUUUUCAUUUGUAUUUAGAUAGAAUUCGGAUUUGGGACAUUUAGAGAUUGUGGAUAUGUGAACAUUCACAAUUUUUCAGAUUUUUAUAAACUUCCGAGUUUAUUAUGUAGUGGGAUCAUGGUAUCACUAAUAGUGUGGUAUCACAUGAUGCUUUCCCCAGAGUGCAGGACGAUAGACCACAUACAUUCUCCUUUGCACAUUUUCACCCCAUAAUAAGCAUAUGUAUUGAGAAGUAGUAACAUUCCAAUGGUUACCAUCACAACCCAGAACAAGUCUCGUUUCUCUCAAUUUUCCUUUCCAUAUCCGCUCUUGGGAGCUUAAUCAUAGAAUAUUUUUUUGGACACCACAUCUUCAUUUGGUCUCGUAUAAGAAUCAUAUGUAAGUCGUUAGUUAUGUUGCCUUCGCCGGUCAGAAAAUCAUCACUGGAUUCAGCAAGUUGAUACCGUCAAGUUUUUUUCCCUUGCAUUUAGUUACAAAAUUACAAAUGUGCCGCGUUGGUAUUGAAGACAUUAAUAACACUUGCUAAAAUUUCCAGCAGCAACAUGCGGGCAAGAAACUAGUUUAUAAUCAUUUUUAUAACAGCGAAUGUCAUAAAAACUUAAGCUCAUCACAUUAUUUUAUUGAUGAUUCGAUCAGUAAUCUGCUCGAUCUGUAACAAGGACAACAGAUGGAGGUGGAACACAUGCAGAAAACAACAAUGAACAGACGCAGAGAGCAGCAAUAGUAGACACCGAGUCGGCCCUAGUGUCUACCUUAGGCUAGCAGGCGACUUCAUUUUCUAUCUUAGAGGUUGGGGUGAUGCAAAUUCAUCAGAAAAAAAACUACUCAUUACCGGGGUUAAAGAGAUGGCAGGCGGCGGUUGAGCGAGGCCGGGGCGCGAGUCUGUCAUGGGAGCGCCAGCGUUUACAGGCAGCGGAGGCAAUCCGUUAGGCCUAGACUGGAUCAGCAGGGUGAGAGAAGAAUAAGAAAAAAUGUAUCGUUUGGAGGUUGAAUAUGAGCAGUGCUCAUUAAAAUUUGAUCCAACGGUUGAGAUAAGUGGAGGGAGAAUCGAUCGACCGUUUCGUUAUUUUGAGGCGACUGGCGCCAAACCAUUUCCUUAUUUUAUCCUAAAUGAUAAGUGCCAUACGUAUGUCACAAAGUAACACCGUUUUGACGUUUUUACAACUAAAAUUGCCAUAUAAAACGAAACCAAAAAACAAAAUAAAACUUGCCAUUCAAACAAAAAGUUUUCGUGCUUCACAACUGAAAUUGCUACCCCGGGUAACGAAAGUUGCCAUGUGCGGCAAUUGCCAGAAUCCUUUUAUCCUAAAUGAUAAGGGAUAGGUGCGACACGUGUGAACAAAAGCUUCUGCGUGCAAAUAAUUUCAAUGCGAUUUUGUUUGUGUGAACGUGUAGACCAGUAUCGAGCUAGUGAGCCACGUGUACCGGGAUAGCAAUUUCACUAAAAAAAGUGCCGUGUGCAGAUCUGGAAGAAGGACCAGUGUAGGUAACCGUCGUUGUCAAACAGAAAAAAGGGACGGACAUGAACAUGACACGAAGUAAAUUAUGUGUACGAUCGAUCUAUCCAUCUACCAUGCCAUGCAUCGUUGAAGGAAAAGUUUUUUUUUCUUGCGGGGGAAAGGAAAAGUUAGGAUCUAUGACUAGUGAAGUAGUAUUAAUUUCCACCGAUUUCACAGAAAAGAGUAGUAUUAAUUUCCAACGGCAUAUGCAUUGAUCAGGCGGUGCAGAGUGAUCAAUGCCAUAAACAUGCGGUUCUCUCUUAACUCCAACCCAGUGGAGUAUACUUCACGCAUAUACUCCUACUGUAGUGACUUCAUACGGAGUAUAUCAUGAAGAUUUGUAUGUAGUAUGUAUAUGAUUCAAAUAUUCUUCUUUUAGUUAUAGUAAUAUGUUCCCUACACAUCACAAACAAGUAACUCUUUUUAAUGUCUUGAGUCAAACUUUAAAAACCUCAAUGGAGUAUUUGUAAAUCAUAUGUUUAGAUUAGAGUCUCGAAAGGCAUAUUCAUGACAUUAUAAUACGAGUGAAUUCCAGUUUUUACUCCUUACUUUAACAUUUUUUACAUCAGUUAGCCCACAACAACUUCUCAUCCGGAUUGCCCCAUUUAAGAAAAAAUUUACCGGCUUUUUACUCCUAAUAUUUUUAGAGUAAUCUACCAGGUUGGAACCGUCUAUCGGUUAUAUGUGUCAUGCCACGUCGUGUUUAUUCUCCUAACAGUUAUCCUACUCCCGAACCCAGUUUGCCUCCUUUUGCCGGACCAACGUGGUGUUUAGUGACCCAUGUUGUAAACCUAUUUUUUAGAUACGCAUAAGCAUAUGUAUCAUAUAUUCAUAGAAGAAAGGGUAAGACACCCGUCCAUGGAGCUACAACGGGGCACUUAGGCCAGGUUACAUGGAUUACUCGCUAAAGACCUGCCUAAACAACCUCUGAUGAAAUAAGGACAUGUCUCCAUGAAACAACCUUGCUGUAGCCCAAGUCUGCCCCGCCUCAUAGAUCCUGCCGAGCACCACCGUGAUGGAAGGAGAACCAUUUGUCAAAAGACUAUUGCGUUGCGGUGCUUCUAGAUUUCUCAACACACGAGAAGAGUGAGAGUAUGCAGGUCCUUCCUCAUCGGAGGUGGUGUUUGCAACAAAGCUGUCCACGGCAAGAGACGGUCCAUUCCUUUUGUACAUGGUGCCCAAGCCUUGAUACCCCACGAUGCAAACACCGAAUGUCAGACGACACUUGCGAAAACGCAGGCAACAAACAGAUGAUCAAUGGUUUCCAGCAGUUGAGCGCAUAGCCGGCAAACAUCCUGAUGUGGCAAUCCGCGCCUCGCCAGCCGAUCAGAGGUACAACACCUAUUCUUGAAAGCGACCUACCUGAACAGCUUGCAACAUAGCGGAGCCGGGCAGUCCCAAACCGUCCUUGCUGCAAGGUCAUGUUCCCGAACGUAAAAACAACUCGCGUAAGCUGACCUGGUUGAAUACUAUCCAGAAGCCUCCCAUGCCCAGUGCACCAAGUCGUCCACACUGUGUCUAAGUUCCACGCCCGACACCAGGUGCCACAGCUGCAAGUAAUCCCCAAUCUCCUCAGCACUGAGAUCCGACCCAAUACCUCUCGGCCAAAGUCCAGCUAGGGCCUCAUCCACUGUCCUGGAGCUCCUAACUCUAGGACGCAUGCGCUCAUAAAUUCUUGGGGCGAUUUCCUGAACUCUCUUCCCAGAAGUAUGUGCUUCUUCCAUUCCCUACAUCAACGAAAACUGUCGCUCGAUAAACUGCCAAGGAUUAUGCCGAAAUACUAAUGUCAAACUCCGCCUGCAGCCUCUCUCCAACAACCCUCCGCAGCCACAACCAUCUCACCCUAAAUGUUGUAUUCAUCCAAUGCAAGUCAAGUAACCCUAGGCCACCAGCCCACUUAGGUGUGCAAACGAUGUUCCAGGCAACCGUGCACUACCCACCAUUCACCGCCGAGCUCCCCGCCCAGAAGAAGCCUCUAAAGAUUUUAUUUAUGGUGGCAAGCAUCUCCGCCUUAUUGAUCGAAACUUUGGAGUCAGCAUGUAUUAUAUCUCAAUUCAUGCCAUCCUCAUAUAAAUGCAUAGUUAAAACAAUAUUAGUAAACCAAAAGCAUUGCAUAAUUACUCAAAUGAGUUCUUAAAUUGGUGUUGCAAACUAAAUGUCACCAAACAAUUGGCCUAGUAUUUUUCCUAGGCCCUCCAUGCCAUAAUAAACCCCUUUGAUUAAUUUCAAUUAUUUAGAAUAAUUUUGAUAUUUGAAUGAAGUGAUAAUUGUUCAAAUUCAAAUAUUUAUAGAAUUAUAAAUUAUAUUGUUGGUGAUAAGUUCCUUGAUGAGAUUUCAUGAAAAUCAAUAUUUGAGGCUUAUAUGGUAGUGAGUAGUUCUAGUAAAAUUUUCAUCAAUUUUGAGGUCAUCUCACCUACUUACAUUUUAAAUCAAAAUUUGGGGCAGAACUUAGGUUGAAUAUAAAUGACUGUCAAGUACCCAUUGAAUUUUUUUUGGAAACGGAAAUAACAUAUAUGAAACCUAUGAGUUUUUCUUGGAUUUUUAAGCCUUGAAAAUAAUGUAUUUAACUAUUUAGAAAAGUUGAGGAAUAAUAAGAAAAUGGGAAAGAUUAAUACUUAUCCGAAACCCGACUAGCUCUAAUCAGGCCAACUCAAUCGGCUUUUCUCCUCUUAAACGGUACCUAGGAAAAUAAACAAGGCGACAAUGACAAGAGUUUGAGAUGCAACUGAGAUCUCACAGGUUCCCUCACCUCUAGCCGUGCGCUCUGGUUCUCCUUGGAAUGUUCGGAAAUUUACGAUGGUAUAAAAUUUAUAGUCCGUGUCGGCGAUAUUCACCCAGAGGGUGCAAUACCGUUGAGAAUAAAAGCGCUCUGGUUCUUCCUAUGAUGCAUCAGUGCCUUACUGAGCAUCGCCAUAGAAUGGUAGAUGUUGUGUCUCCGCCGGUUUGAUCUUAUGGGUUUUGGGUUUAUGUUCUUGCAGAUGCAUUCAUGAGGAUUUGAUGAGCUUGUAUUAUGGUAUCUUCUGCUUUUAUUGGUAUGAUCUUUUGUGCCUUCUUGGAGUGCUUCUUAGGCUUUUUCAUGAAGAUUUUGUGUUCGACAACCUCUAAUCUCGUGGAUCAUCCUUGGCCAAGUACAUUCAAUGCUCACGAAUUUCCACCUCUUUGGAUGGGAAACUAAAGGGGCUUUUGAAAAUCGAAGUUAGUCGAUUUUGUGCAGGUAUAUGGGCAAUGGUGUCGCUGCUCUGGUCUGGUUGUUAGAGCAAGUCUAGCAGACCCUGCAUCCGGCGCAAACCCGCAUAAUUCCGGCGAUUAUACGGGCUCGGCCCAUUUUUCUGGCCAGACCAGAGCCGCAUCGGUGUCCGGCCCGUAAAUUUUUUUGCCGCAGCCCGCAAACGCAAACCCCGAGCCACUAUAACUGCGGGUUUGCGGGGCAGAUGCAGUUCGAAACCCUAUCCUCCCGCCGCCGCGUUCCCCUCCAAUUCCCCACCGCGCCGCUCGAUUUCUCGCCGCCGGCGAGCCUUGAACCACCAUGGCCGACUCGGGGGAUGAGGCGGAGCGCCGCUGCCGCGCCAGAUUUGACGCCGCGCGCAAGCGGGGGGCGCGUCGGUGGCUCAACCAGGGUGCCCGGCCACCGCCGGCAUUCGACCGGCGCGAGCUCGACGAGUUCGAGCUCGAGGGCGCCCGUCGCCGCCGCGCCUCCUCCGGUAACUGGUCCGCGGGGAGCUCAUCCGGCCACUGGUCCGCGGGGAGCUCAUCCGUGGGCGCAUCGAGCUCGCGGCUCGUUCUGGUGAAAGAGGGAGCCGGAGGAGGCCGUGCCCGAUGCGCCGCCGCGCCGAGGCGUCAUCGGACCCGAGGACUACCUCCCAUCGGGGCAGGAAGAGCUCCUCGAGCGCGUCGUCCUCGAGCAGUCGACGAGGGAGCUGCAGGAGAUGGAAGAGCGCAUCUGGCGCGAGCUCGAGUACGAGCGGUUCUUCCUCGAUUUGGGCCUCGCGGCAUCGCAGGCGCACGCAUCGAAGGAGGCCGACCUGCGCGUGAUGAAGGAGGAGCAGGCGAAGCUCUUCGUCGACCUCGGCUCCGAUUCCUCCGACUCCGGCUGAUCGCCGCCGGUGGGCAGCUACCGCAGGAGCUCUGGUGAGCUCAAUUUUGUUGCAGUGAUGCAGUAGCGUAGGCCCUGUCUAGCAUAUAUAACCUCUACGUAUGUAUGUGGCGUGUAUGAACUUAUUAUGCGAAGAAGAACCAUGUAUGCGAGCGAGCUCCGGCGAGCUGUUGCUUAAAAUUUCUCGCGCGAAACAACUUUUUUUAAAAUUUAGGUGUUUGUUUGCGAUUUCUAGUCUGCCGCCGCAAAUUUCGGCCUGCAUAACCGUCCCCGUGCGACCUGCAAACCCCUUUUACGGGUCGGCAAAAUGCGGGGUCUCCUAGAGUUGCUCUUAUAUCGUUGUAGGAGCUUUUGAUAGUAUCCCAUGUUGCAAAGAUUGUUGUUACUUUGGAGGGGAUGAACACCACAUCUUCAUUUGAUCACGUAUAAGAAUUAUAUGCAAGUUAAUUAUGUUGCCUUUGCCGGUGGUCAGAAAAUCAUCACUUGAUUCGGUAAUUAAGUUGACAUCGGCAAGUUUUUUUCCUUGGAUUUAGUUACAGAAUUACGAAUGUGCCGUGUUGGUACAAACAAAGACGUUAAUAACACUUGCUAAAAUUUCCAGCAUCAACAUGCGGGCAUGAUACUAGUUUAUAAUCAUUAUUGAUAACAGUGAGUGUCAUAAAAACUUAAGCUCAACACAUUAUUUUAUUGAUGAUUCGAUCAGUAAUCUGCUCGAUCUGUAACAAGGGCAAAAGAUGGAGGUCGAACACAUGCGGAAAGCAGCAACGAACAUAUGCAGAAGUAGCAACAGUAGACACACCGCGUCGGCUAGCUAUCCAUGUAGAGCCUGGUGUGAUGAUGCUGACCGAUAACUUAGUGAAUGCUGCAAACACACACAGACAAAAGCUCAACGAUUAGCCUCAGUACUUACUUACUAAUUAACGAUUAAAUGGCUAAUGAGUACUCCCUCUAUACGGAGCGUAGUGAUCUAAACGCUCAUACAUUUCGUUAUGCAGGGAGUAGAACAUAUUCUUUCAAGUUAGGAGUGGAGGAUGUAC
Molecule: long non-coding RNA, 49810 nt
Filed under: Triticum aestivum (bread wheat)
Lineage: Eukaryota; Viridiplantae; Streptophyta; Magnoliopsida; Poales; Poaceae
Description: long non-coding RNA (TAES_LNC023099)
Source: RNAcentral